Molecule: long non-coding RNA, 62517 nt
Filed under: Theobroma cacao (cacao)
Lineage: Eukaryota; Viridiplantae; Streptophyta; Magnoliopsida; Malvales; Malvaceae
Description: long non-coding RNA (TCAC_LNC003943)
Source: RNAcentral
AGUAAGAAGUGAAGAGGAAAGGAAAGAACACAAACCCUAGGUGGGAAAAUUGAAGAAAAAGUGUGGGAUUUCAAGGGAUUAAGCUAAUAAAGGUAAAAUUUUGUGAUUUUAUCUUGUGAUUUACAUUACCCAUGCUUUCUUUUUCAUUUUCCAUGCUUAGAACUCAAGUUUGCAUGAUGAACCCAUGCUGGCCGAAUUUGAAAGGAGAGGUUUUGAGCAUUGAUUUUGCUAGAUUUCAAGCUAAUUAAGUGUUUUUGGUUGUUUGGUAAUGGAAAGUAUGAAAAUCUAAUAAGGAAUCACUUUGUUCUUCACAAACCCACAAGAGGCCGAAUUUUUUAGGGACGAUAUUAAGGCUGAAAUUGAUGAUAUUUCAUAAUAUUUUGGUGGUAUUUAAUGAUUGGUGAGGCUAGAAAUUUAAUGAGAAAUUUUGACAUGAAAAUCUGAAUUUUUAUCUAAUGUAUAGACAUGUGCAAUUUAUGGUUUGGACUGAUAAAUUGAAUCAUAUUCACAGUCAUUGAGGUAUUUUAAGUAUAAUUGGAGUGUAGAAAGUGAAAGAAAUCGAUUUGGAGUUAAAUUGGAGGUUUUAGCCAAUUACAUUGAGAAUAGUGCGAAUUAGGUCGAAUAUCGUAUUUAAACGGCUAUUCGGACAUUUUGCAUCACAUUUCGUGCAUUCAUAUAGAUUUAUAGAGCCUGAAAUAGUUUAUGAUAAAUUGACACAAUUUAUUAAACUUCGUGUCACGUAUGAUGUAUAGGUGGUGAGCCCUCUAAUAAGGGUAAAGAGAUUGUGCCCGAAGAUCAGGAAUAGGAGUAUAUCGAAUUCCUAGUACUGUGAGUAACCUUACUAUCAUCUUAAUUAUCUAAAGUGAUUUUUAUUCAAUUUUGUGAAUUUUAUGAAAAAUGAAUUAAAUGAUUAAUUUUUUGAUUUUAUAAACAAAAUGUGAUUUAAUGAAAUGAUUUCAUAAAAUUGUUUUAAAAUUGAAUGAUGGUUUGAAAAUAGAGUAAUUGGAGACCAUUUGAUGUAUUGUGAAUUUAUGGUUCUAAUUGAUUGGCUUAUGACAAUAUUGGCAUGAAUGGCUGAAUUGGUAUUUGUGUUGAAAUGAAUAAACUGUUAUUUGCCUUGAUAGGCUAGAUAAUGAUAAAAUUGCCAUGUCAUACUGUUGAAUUUUUAUUGUAUGGUGGGAUAUUGAUUAGCUUACUACAGUGGGCGGGUUCCGUGGACCAGCCUAUUAGAGGGGCACGGUAACCCCGUUAUAUCUUAUCUCAGUAUGAGAGGCAUGGGUGGAUAACUCCUGAGGUUAACACUUUUAGAGUUCACUUCACAUCAAACCAUCACGUGAGGGGAAACUCAGCCAACGCCAAGGAACGACUAUGUUUUCAAAAUAAAAACAUAAUUUAUGUGUACAUGACUUUUUAACAGCCUUGGCGGACUCGGUUGGGAUAGCCUUCGAUCAAGGUAUCCUUGAUAACUGGGUAUGAGAAUGAUUUUGGCACGAGCCAAAGCUUUUAAGAAAUUCAUAAGCCAUAUUAAUUACUCGAUUUAUAUGAAUUGAUUUUAUUUGGUUAAAACAAAGUGAAAGGUGAUGAAUUUCAAUACGUUAAACUAUUUUAUCUGUCUCCAUUUACUCAACUUUAGAUGGUUUAGAUGGUAUCUGUUUACUCACUGAGAUUUUAUAAUCUCACCACCCUCAUUUUCAAUAAUUUCAGGCUCGAGGUAGCCUGUGGAUAGCAGAUAUCGUCAAGGAUUAUAGUUGGCUUUACUACUUCAAAAAAAACUAUAGGUUUACUACCUUUGUGCACUUUUGUUCCUUGUGGGCCCACGAGUCACUGUAAAAUAAAUUUAAUAUCUUGGUUAUCUGUAUUAUAGUACGUAUGAAUUUAUUUAUCUUUUACAUUACAAAAAAAUUAUUUAUCGAUGACUCUAUAAAUAUUAUUUUACAAGAAAUUAGAAUAUUUUUAUUUUAUUCAAAUAGUUGCAAUAUCAUUUUUAAUAAAUUUUUUAGACACCUAAAUUUAUUUUAAAUAUGAAAUAUGUGUUUUCCACUCAUCUACUACAUCUUUAGUCGAGUUCGAAAAAUUUUGAGGAAAAAUGACGAAAAUACUCCUGUGAGGUGAAAAUUAUUUUUGCACGAUUUUGAAAUGAAAAAAGCUUAAAAUUCUUUAAAAACGAGGAUUGGUGAUGAUUACUCACAGGGGAGAUGAAAAAAAAUGGUACUAAAGCCUUGCGAGGUUCCGAUUGGCACUCCGGGUAACGAAUGUCUACCGGGACAUCGCGGCAGUUGUCACGGGCUUGAUGGGAGUACCGGGUCGUGACAGAGUGACAGUGAUGAGCCACAAAAUGAAGAUGAAAGAGAAGCUGCCAACUUAUAUUUCAUGGGAAUCGAUGACUUCAAGGUAUGCUCUUCAAACAUUACCUCUUGUUUAUAUUACUUAAAUGAUUGUUCUUAUUCAUUUGAUGAACUUCAAGAUGCAUAUGAUGAAUUAGCAUUUGAAUUUGAACAAUGACUUUGAAAUAUAAGAAGAUUAUCUUCAAAUUUAAGACUAAAAAUGAUAAUCUUGUCAAAGAUAAAAUUGAGCUUAAAGAUAAGGUUAAAUGUUUAGAAAAUGAAACAUGUGUUUAAAAAAGAAAAAUGAACACUUGCAUGAAUCAUACUCUAAAUGGCACAUGAGCUAACAAAAGCUAAAUGACAUGUUAGAAAAUCAAACAACAUUUUUUAAUAAGGAAGGUUUAGGAUAUAAUGGAACAUAAAAAGAAACUCAUCUUAAAAAGAAAAACAUGAUGCAAACAAUGUGUGCAUUUGUUGUCACAAGAUUGGUCAUUCUAUUUUUUUCUAUCCAUUGAGGUUGGAAUGGGUUUCAAAGGGAACCAAAGGAGUGAGCACUAACAUAUAUGGAUCCAAAGAAAUUUGGAUACCAAAACUCAAUUGAAAGUGAUUCUUGCAAGUAGGCUAGAGCAAGGAAGAACUAGAUCUUGGAGAUUCAAAUGUUCUCUAAACAAGAAAUGAAAAUGACAUGAAAAAGCUUUGAGAUGAUAAUGAAUAUUGCUGUUGAUUGGUCAAUGGGAAUGAUGUGGAAUCUUGGCAAAAUGACUAAAACUUUCAUGAGAACAUCAUCAAGGCUUGAAAAUGAUUAAGGAGGUAAAUCAUUUGAUACAAAACUCUACAAAUCUAUGGAUGAUUCCUUACUUUAUCUUACAACAAGUCUUAACAUGAAUAUGUUUUAUAUAUAUCACUUUGAUUGCUGAGAUAAAUUUGUUUGCUUAUUGUUGUGUUUGUACUUCAUUUCAUGCAUAAGCAUCACCCAAACUAAAAAUGCCACUUUGUUGAGCCCACUCUCUCUUUCAAAAGGUAAUUUGAAAGAAAAGCUUCAAAUUCUCAAAGCUUUUUGAGUGCAAGAAUUGAUGUUUUAAUUUCAUUGAAGUCGAUUCUCGAAUAAUACAAUAAAAAAUUUCAUAGAAUUUAUUUUUCAUGAAAUUAGAAUCAAUGUUUCAAAGAUUCGAAAUACUCUUGAAGCAUUUCAAAGAUGAGAAUCAAUCCUUUCUUUUCUAAACGUUGAUUCUCAAAGAAUCGCGAAAGUUUUUAAAAGAAGUUAGGGCAUAGGAAUCAACCAUAGGAAUAUUAUAAGUUGAUUCCAAAUGUUUUAAAAGAUAAAAACGCUUGGGUUUCAUACCUAAAGACACAAUUCUCAAUUCUCAAAUCACAUCAACUAAUCAUGAUUCUUCAAAACCUUUUUUCUAGAGACUUCAAUCAUUGAAAAAAACCAUUGGGGGUUGAAAAGAUUGAAUCUUUUCAACAAAAUCCUUCCUUUUUCACAUUGAUAAAUUGGUUCCCAAAUCAGCACUCAAACUUUCAAAAGCCCAUUUCUUUUGAAAGGAAGAGUUAGCUCAACUCAAAACAUCAAUUUUCAAACUUCCAAAACCUUGAUUCUGUAGUUCUCAAUAGCCUUCAAAAUAAAUUCUUGAUACUAUAAACUCAAUCAAUAGUUCCCAAAAGAUCGAUAGAAGAAAAAAGGAAAGCACCAGUAACAUUGCUAAAGGUUUAGAAAACUCAGAUACUAAAUCUUUUUGACUUAAUUUUUACAACCAAGGCAGAUAAGCAUGUCUAUGAUGAUAUCUACGCUAAGAGAAAAGUAGUUCAUGGAAGAAUCAUCAAUUUAGCAUGGUUUGAGGGUAAGUUUAGAUUUUCUUACAUUGAAAAUUUGAGAAAGUUUGGAUGGUAUUAUUUUUUGACCAUGAGGAGGUCGAUUUAUGAAAAAUUAAUGAAGAUUUUUUACUCAUAUGUGACCUCGGUCUAUAGAGGGGAGAAUGAUGAUGGCAUGGUGGAUCACAACAAUUCUUUUUUCACCUUUGUUGUUGGGAAUGAGCCAAUCAUCACACCCAUUCUGUUGCAAAAAGUAUUAAGGUUAAAGCCCACAAGUAGGAAUGUACUUAUCCAUAUGACUGGACAAAAUGCAAUUUUUGAAGAAGAGUUGAGUGCUAAAUUCAUUACUGGUCUUGUCACAACUUAAAAAUUUCCAAAUAGCCAUGCUAGGUUAAGUGCGAAUGACAAUAUUCUGCAUUUGAUAGUGACCAACACUUUUAAACCUUUUGGGCUUUGUACACUUCAGUAAUAGUUGAAGAAAUGUGGUUUCUAUGCCACAUUAAAGGGAUGACUUCAAUUGGUCUUGCUCAAUUCAUAUACAGAGAUAUGGAGAUAUUGGCCAGAAGAGGAAGAAAUAACUUAGUUUAUAGGAUUGUCAUCUCUGAAAUGCUAGAGAAAUUGAAAAUUGCUACAUCCCUUGAUAAGCUAGUGAUGUAAGACAAAGCUAAAUGCUUGAACAAAGCAUCUUCUAAAAGGAUGCAAAUUGAGUUUGACUACGUUAACAAUCAAUGGAUAAAGAAGGGUGUUCAACAAGGAGCUAAGGCUCAAGAAGAAGUAACACGUAAACAAAUAUCAAAUGCUCAAACUUCAUAACCCUCAAUUUAGCCCUUUUCUACAUCAAAUGUGCUUCCACCAUCAUCAGUUAAUCCUUUAGCAACACAUGUGCCAUUUUAACCAGUUGUGCAAGGACUUUUGGCAUUGCCAAGCCCAAUAUAUAUGGAAAAAAAAUGCAUAUCUAGAACUAUUUUCUUGGUUGGACUAUAAGAAGAAGUUGUUUUAAUAAAGGAUUACUACAGUCAACAAGAAAUUUGAGGUAAUGGUGAAUGAUUAUUUACACAAGUUUUAGAAUAUGCUUGAUUACUGCAACUAUUCUCUUAACAAGAUGAAUGACAACAUAAUUAAGCUUCAAAGGGGAAUGGUGACUCUCUCAGAAAAUCAACUACAACUUUAUAAAAACUAGUAAAUAUUGAAUAAGAAGCUUAAACAAAGAAUCUAACCACCAUAUUCUCCAAAAAUACAAUCACUACCUAGCUCACCAAAAUCACCACCACCAAAAAGAUAGCACUUACAAGCAUAAUCAUAACAUUUAUCGUUUUUGCUUUGCAUGUUGCUUUGCUCUUGAAUUUAUGGUUUAAUCUUCAAUAAAAUCUAUCUUUUGCUUCUGUACAUGUGAAAAUGCUUAUUGUUGAAUACUUGAUUACUUGUGCUACUAAUGUUCUUGUGUUUCCUUGAGCUUUGAAAUUACUUUAUACUUUAUUUUCCCUCUUUUUUGAUAUAACGAAAAAGGGGACAAUAUUUUAAGUAAAUUUUGGAAGCCUUUCUUGUUUAAAUUGGCUAGAUUAACAUUAAAAAUGCUUUUAAAUGUUUCUUAAAUGAAUUGAAAAGAGAACGCAAAUUCAAGGGGAGUUCUUCAUAAGCAAAUUUAGCUUUUAAUUUUGUCAUAUCAAAUAGAGAGAGAUUGUUAGAUUUAAAAUUGACCUCAAUUUUGAAAUAACAAAAUUCAAUUAUCUAAAUAUGCUUUGAAACUAAGUGAAAAUGUUUUUUAACUUGAAGAACAAUCCACAAAAUGUUUUAAAGUUGUUUGUGAAAAGAAAAUUUUGUUUAAACACUUUAAAUCUCAAAUUCCAACUAUUAGAAUCGACUUGUGGAAGUAAAGUAAUUGAUUCUUUGCAAAACAAAAGUCAAUAUUUCUUCAUUGAAAAGUAAAAAUCGACUUCUUUAAUAAGGAAACAUUGAUUCUUGAAGAAACAAAAGCUACUGAAACAAGAAAAAUUGAUGUCUAAAGAAGUAAUGGUCGGUUCAUGAUAACUCUAUUUUAUAGAGUUAUUUUGUCACAUUUUGAGUAUUAAAUUGGCUAAGUUCUUGAAAUUAGUUUAGAAAUUAGAUAUUUUUAGCUAUUUGUCUCAAUUUAGUAAAUCAUGUUAAGUUGAUUAAAUUUAAUUAUUUUAAUUUAAUUUGAUGAUAAUUUUCUUUUAGUUUAGUUAUUAUUGAGUUAGUUUUAUGCUUUUGUCGGUGUGCAAUUAAAAUGGUUUCAAUUGGUGAAGAAGAAUGCAUGAAUUGCCAAGUGCCUUUCUCAUACAUGUUUCAAUAUUUUAAGUAUAACUCUCAUUAUGAAAGUCCAAUUCAAGUGAUUCUUAAGCCAUUGGAAAGUUAAGAAAUAGGGCUACUGUCACGACCCAAAACUCCCCAUUGGGCUCGUGACAACCGUCACGACGUCUCGAUAAGCACUCAUUACCUCGAAUGCCGAUCGAAACCCCGCAAGGCUAAGCAUCAGCUUCCGCAUCUCCCCGGUGAGCGACAAUUAUUAAAUCUCGCAUUUCAAGAAAUCAUAAGUCUUUUCCAAAUAAAAAUAAUAAAAUAUUAUUUUUUUGGCUCACAGGGGCAUUUUCGUCAUUUUUCUUCGAAAACAUCAAAACUCACCAAAGACAUGGUGUAAAAGCUAAAUAUGUUCAUACAUACUUUAAAUCAAAUAAUUAAAGUAUAAAAUUACUUUUAUAAUGACACAUGGGCCCCUAACUAACCAAUAAGAUGCGAGUCUGUGAACCUACAAUUUUGUCGAUGCAAAGCUAACUGAAGUCCUUGAUGCAAUCGGCUAUCUACCGGCUAUCUCAAGCCUGAAAUAUGGGGAAUUGAGGGUGGUGAGAUUAUAAAAUCCCAGUGAGUAAAUAGACACCAUUUAAACUAUCUAAAUGCGAGUAAAUGGAGAUGAAUUAAAAUAUUCAUUUCCAAUAUAUGUUUCAUAACAUGAAUAUUCAGUUUACUCAAUUAAUCAACAUGGCUUAUAUAUCUCACAAAACUUGGCUCCUGCCAAAAUCAUUCUCGCGGAUACCUUCGUCAAGGUAUCCCACUAAGACCGCCAAGGCUGUUAAAAAUUCAUAUUUCGCAUAAAACACAUUUUUCGUUGAACAUCACAAUCGUUCCUUGGCGUUGCUUGAGUCUCACUCUCACGUGGUGGUUAACGUGAAGUGCACUUAAAAAGCCCACCUCAGAAGAUACCCUACGCGCCUCUACGAUUGAGGUGAGAAUAUAAAAGAGUUUACCGUGCCCCUCUAAUAGGCUGGUCCACAGAACCCCCCACUGUAGUAGCUAAUCUUUAAUCCACCAAUUGAUCAAAUCUCAAUGGCAUAGCAUGGCAAUUACAUUAUUAACCAAUUUAUCAAGGCAAAACAGACAGUUCAUACUUUUCAACAUAAGUAUAAAUUCAGCCAAUCAUGCCAAUUUAUCACAAGCCAUUUAAUUCAAAUCAUAAUUUUACAACACAAGUAGGCAGUCUCCAAUUACUCUAUUUUCAAAACCAGUAUUCGAUUUUCCAAAAAAUUUAUAAAAUCAUUUUAUAAAAUCACAAUUUCUCCUAAAACAUAGCAAUUUACCAUUUAAACCUAUGUUCCAUAAAAUCACACAAUUGUAUAAAACUACUCUAGAUAAUUAAGACGAUAAUAAGUUCACUCACUGUUCUAGGAGUCGAUAUACUCUUAACCCCAAUCUUCAAUUACAAUCCCUGUACUUUUACCAGUGUAAUUUGCUCACCACCUAUCCACAAUGUACAAUACAUAAUUCACCACAUUAAUGUUUGACCAUUAUAAAAUCAAUUCAGGCUCGGUGUAUAUGCAUGAUAUGAAGUGCAAAAUAUCUAAAUUUUGCCUAAACGCGAUGUUAGCCUAUUUCGGUCUUUUACUCGAUAAAUCGAUAUACGCGUCCGUUUAAACUCUAAAUUAAUUUUUUUUAGUUUCUAUACCUCAAUUGCACCCAAAUUGACUUAAUGUCCCUCAGUGUGGUGCAAAUUAUCAAUCCCGACAGUAAAUUACGAAAAUACCCCUAGUGGGUAAAAGUUCACAUUUUUGCUCAGAAAAUUCCCAUUAUUUUUCUAGGCUCAUAAUUCAUCAUUAUUCAUCGUAAUUCCUCAAAUAAACAUAAAGAUCAGCAGCCAAUAUUCCCCCAAAAAAUUCGACAUAAGGGGUUUCAAUGGGAAAAAAUUAUUUCUCUAGCUUAUUUUUGCUAUAUUUCAAUAUAACCUAACUAAAAUCACUUAAUUCAAUUAAAAUCAACCAAAACUCAAGCUCAAAACUCAUCCAUGGAGGUUUGGCCAGCAUGGGUGUCCAUACCCACUUUCUAAUUUUGCAUGGAAAUNNNNNNNNNNNNNNNNNNNNNNNNNNNNNNNNNNNNNNNNNNNNNNNNNNNNNNNNNNNNNNNNNNNNNNNNNNNNNNNNNNNNNNNNNNNNNNNNNNNNNNNNNNNNNNNNNNNNNNNNNNNNNNNNNNNNNNNNNNNNNNNNNNNNNNNNNNNNNNNNNNNNNNNNNNNNNNNNNNNNNNNNNNNNNNNNNNNNNNNNNNNNNNNNNNNNNNNNNNNNNNNNNNNNNNNNNNNNNNNNNNNNNNNNNNNNNNNNNNNNNNNNNNNNNNNNNNNNNNNNNNNNNNNNNNNNNNNNNNNNNNNNNNNNNNNNNNNNNNNNNNNNNNNNNNNNNNNNNNNNNNNNNNNNNNNNNNNNNNNNNNNNNNNNNNNNNNNNNNNNNNNNNNNNNNNNNNNNNNNNNNNNNNNNNNNNNNNNNNNNNNNNNNNNNNNNNNNNNNNNNNNNNNNNNNNNNNNNNNGUAAAUUUUGGUCCUUUUUGAAGGACGAAAAUAAUAUAAUAUUAUUUUAUUCAUUUUUUUGUUUUAUUAAUUUCUUAAAUUCUAACCAUCCAUUUGUUUCCAAAUUUUCACCAUACACUUGUCCCACAUAUCCAUAGCUUAGAUAAAAUUCUCAGACUUAUCUAAAGUCUUGGUGGAGUAAUUUUUAAAAUUUACACUUUUGCCCUCGUAAAAGUUAAAAAUUACAUUUUUACCUCAAAAACUGAAAAAUUGCCCAUAGACAUAUUUUUCAUCCCUUAUACUCAUACCAUUCUCCAAUUUGUCAAAUGUGGUCUAAAUUCUCUCAAAUUUUCAAAUUUUAUCCGCGGGUGGAAAAAUUACGAUUUUGCCCUUACACUCCAAAAAUAAUCGGAAUUAAACUUUUUCACUGCCAAACCCUCAAAUUAUACUCCAAUAAGUUAAAUGGGGCCAAAAAAAGUCUUUUCUAAAAAUUCUCAUUUUGUCUCUAGUUGGCAAAUGACCAUUUUGCCCCUAGAUAGUGAAAAUUUCGGUUUGACUCCGAAUUGAUCCUCGAACUCCAAAUUACCAUUUUGAGUCAUCUCUGAACUUUGAAACUCUUAAUUCACCUUAAAAUUCCUAUUUGAACUAGUUCGAGGCUUAAUCGACUCAAUGGUACUAUUAGGGGCAAUAUCGUCUUUUAACGAUUUCUCGAACUUCCUAAAUACGCAAACAUUUGAUUGAGCAUGUAAAUGAUGUCGUAAUUAUUUUAUAGAACAGGGUUUGACAGCUACAACUUUCAUACCUACUAUUUUGCCCAAUUCAGUCUAGAUCGAGGAGAAAAUUGCAUCACAAUUUGAUUGAGUAUAAUAGAGAGCGUAUUGGGAGACAACAAGUUGGAGGCCACGACGCCCAAGGACUAUGGCCACGGAGUUGCACCUAUGUCUUAGGCAAACCAAGUCUAAACUUGACUAGAAGUAGGUCUUUUUAAAGGCUAUUUAAAGGCACCUUUGAAGCAAUUCAAAGAAAUAAUAAAACUAGGAUUUCUUUGAAGAAAAUGGGCCACAAAACACCCAAGAAAGCAAGAAAAAUUGUGAAAGAUUGAUAAUUAUACUAUAUAGAGUUAUUUUGAUAUAUUUUGGGGGCUUAAACGACUAGUUCUUUGAGAUAUUAGGUUUGAAUUUUAGUAAUUUAGGUGUUUUUCAUAGUUAAGUUAGAUUACAUGUUGAUUAGUUUGAUUUUAGUUAUUUUAGUUUAAUUUUAUGUUAUGUUAUUUUAAAUUACUUUAAGAGUAGUUAUUGUUGAUUUCUCUUAUUACUUUUGUAGGAAAUUUUAUGAAAAAGAUUCAUUUAACGAAAAUUCGUGCAAAUAUGGUGAUGGCUUUAUUCAUAUGUGCUAUAGUAUUUUGAGGAUAACUUGAACUACAACUAUCCAAUUGAUGUAAUUCUUAAUCUGUAACCUCCUGUACCAUCGUAUAGAAGUCAAUAGAACCUUAUCGACAAGACAAAUGAUCAAUUGAUGUAAAUUUAAGUGCCAAAGAGCUGUGAUGAGUGGAAGGAACAUUUUGAAAUAAAAUAUUUUGCACACAAGAAAAUAAUUAAAACAAAAUAAUAUUCUAUUGGUGAUGAGUUAGCGAAGUUAAAAUGUCAAGCCCGGCUCUAUAAUAUACUUGCCAUGUCAUUCAUGUACUUGAUAGCUUGUUUGCAUCCAAGUAUACGAUGCCUCGAAAAAUCGUUAAAAGUUGGUAUUGUACCUAGUGGUACAAUUAAGUUGAUUAAAGUCUCGAACUAGUCCAAAUAGAGAUUUUAAGACGCAUUUGAGAGUUAUUGAACCUUAAAAUGUUUUAAUAUCGUGAUUUGGCGUUCGAAGAUUGAUUUGGAGUUUAGUCGGGAAUUUUUAUAACGUAGGGGCAAAAUGGUAAUUUUGCCACCCAAGGGCAAAAUUGAAAUGUUGGACGAGAUUUUUGACCAUGUUUGACUAUUUGGAGCAUAAUUUGAAAUUGUGGAGUGAAAAAUUUCAAAUUUUGACAUUUUUCGAGUAUAAUGGCAAAACGAUCAUUUCACGUGUCCAUAAGGACGUAAUUGAAAUUUUACACCACCAUGACACUUGUCAAGCCCAUGAAUUUCACCUAUUAUCACUUUAUACUUUAGAUAAUUAUGGGAUUACAUGUGGUGGUGAGAAAUUCCUUAAUGGUUAAGUUUUGAAUCAUGGACCAAUCAAGUGGUGACAUGUGUCAAGCUUUAAUAUUUUAUUGAUUUUCCUUUACAAACCGACUUAAGCUUCUCCCAUUUCACUCUUANCUUUAAUAUUUUAUUGAUUUCCUUUACAAACCGACUUAAGCUUCUCCCAUUUCACUCUUAUGGUCGGCCAAGCAAGGGAACAAAGAGAAAAAGAGAAGAACAAACCCUAGGAAGGAAAAAUUCAAGAGAAAUUGUUGGAUUUCAAGGAAUCAAGCAAGUAAAGGUAAGAUUUUUUAAUUUUAGCUUGUGAUCUACCUUUCCCAUGCAUUCUUUUCCAUUCUCCAUGGCUGAAAUUCAAGUUUUCAAGAGGGAACCUUUACUGGCCAAACCUAGAGCGAGAAGUUUUGGUGAUGACUUUUGCUAGAUUUCAUAAUAUCCUAGUGUUUUUAGUCAUUUUGUGAUGUUUGGAAGGAAAAACAAUCAAGAAAAUCACAUGUUCUUCAACCACCCUCACUUGGCCGAAUUUUCUAUAGGGCAUGUUGAUGAUGGAUUUGGUUGUAAUUCAUGUUAUUUAGCUAGGAAUUGAUGAAUUAUGAUGUUGGAUAUCGAAACUGGUUAUUGAAAAGUAUAGUUCCUUUAGAAAAUGGCUUGAUGGAAACUAAAAAAACAUAGUAAAUGGACUUGGAUUUGAUUCCUAAUGAUAUAUAUGGAUUUACGAGAUUGUGUAGACAUUGAUUAGUAUGUGAGUUCGAAAUGAGAAUGAAUUUUGAAAAGUGGUGAAGUUAGUCAAAAAUCAAGUUCAUUGUAAUGCUUUGGUGUAUUAGUUUAUUGGGAGUGUAAUGAAUAUAUUUGGAGUUGAAUAAGAUGUUUUGGUUAAAUCAAUGCUGUAUAGUUCAAAUUAGGUCGAAUACAAAUUCAUUCCGAUCACAAUUGAACCUACGUAGAACACCAUCUUUAAGUGACUAUCCAAACAUUUCUCAUUUAACUUCAUGCAUUCAUAUAGAGUCUGAAAUAGUUUUAUAACAAUUUGACACCAAUAUAUUGAAUUACGUGUAGUGUAUUAUGUAUAGGUGGUGAGCCCUCUAGUAAGGGUAAGGAUAUAGUACCCGAGGAUCAAGAAUAAGAGUAUUCCAUACUCCCGUUAUUGUGAGUAAUUAGACUUUCAUCUUAACUAUCUAAAGUAGUUUAUACUCGUUUUUAUGUUUUAAAGAAAAAUGAAUUUAAAUUGCAAACUAUUAUGUUUUAUAAUUGAAGUGUUGAUUAAACAAAAUGAGAUUUAUAACUUGUUUUGAAAUUGAAUACUAGUUUUGGAAAUUGAGUAAGUGGGGACUGUAUAUUUGUGUUAUAUAUAUGUUUUGACAUAUGGUUUGAAUUGAUGGCUUAUGACAACGUGAUGGUAAGCAUGGUUGGAUUUGUGUUUGUGUGGAAUAUGUGAACUGUUUUGCUUUGCCUUGACAGGUUGGUAAUAUUAUAUUGGCCAUGUCAUGUUGUCGGAAAUUUUAUUGAAUUGGUGGGUUAUUUGAUUAGCUUACUACAGUGGGUGGGUUUUCGUGGACCAACCUAUUGAAGGGGCACGGUAAACUCGGUUAUAUUUUACCUUGGUACGAAAGGCGCGAAGGGUAUCUCCUAAGGUAACAUUAGAGUUCACUUCACGCUAAACCACCAUGUGAAGGUGAAACUCAACCAACACCAAGGAACGACUGUGUUUUAAACGUAAGAACUUGUUUUAUGUGCAUAUGUUAUUUUAACAACCUUGGCGGACUCGGCUGGAUGCCCUCGGCCAAGGUGUCACCGAGUAUGAGUUUUAGGCAUGAGCCAAGUUUUUAAGAGAGUCAUAAGCCUUGUUGAUUAUUUUUGAUGAAAUUUAAUUGAUUUAUAUGGGUUGAAAUAAGAUUUGAUAUUAUGAAUCAUAUUAUACUGAGAUGUUUUAAAUUGUCUCCAUUUACUCGGCUUUAGAUGUUAUAGAUGAAAUUUGCUUACUCACUAGGUUUAUAAGAACUCACCCCUUCUUUUUUACCCAAUUCAGGCUCAAGAUAGUCUGUAGAUAGCCGAUUUUGUCAAGGUUUGCUUUUGGAUUUGCAUCCUUAAAAAUCAAAGGUCUACAAUCUUGUAUGUUUUCGAUUAUUUUGGGGUCCACAUGUCAUUGUAGAAUAUUUUUGUAUACUUGGUUUAGUGUGCUAUUAUAUAUAUAAAUUUAUUUUGCUCUUACGCUACAAAAAUUGUUUAUGCAAGAUUCUAUAAAUAUUAUUUUAUAAAUAAAUGAAAUAUUUUUAUUUAAUAUUUUUAUUUAGUUUGAUUAGCCAUAAUUUCACUUCAAAUGGAUGAUUUAGAUAACUAAACUUAUUUUUAGAUAUGAAAUGUAUAUUUUUCAUUUAUAUAUUAUAUUUUUAACAAGUUUCAAAAUUUUUGGGUAAAAUGACCAAAAUACCCCUGUGUAGUAGAAAUUACUUUUUGAUUGUUUUGAUUUGAAAAUUUUCUAUAUUCUUUCAAAACAUGAUAUUUAGUAACUGUUGCUCACAAGGGAGACGUAACAAUGAUGUAAAAGCCUUGCGAGGUUUCGGUUGACAUUCUGGGUAAUGAAUGUCUAUUGAGACAUCGCGACGGUUGUCACAGGCUCUAAAAGAGUACCAGGUCGUGACAUAAAUGGUUUUUUGGAAGUGAACUGGGGCAAAGUGAGACACUUUGGGACCCAAGGAGACAAGUGAGAAAUUUUAGAGUAAAAUAAUAUUUUAUUAAUAAAAUAAUAUUAAAAUAUUAAUAUUUUAUCUGUUGUUGAAAUUAGUCAUGAAGGAAGACUAUAUGGCUAAUCUAAGUAGGGGAAAAAAAUAAGGAAGAAUUUUGAAUAAAAAUGAUGUUAGUGGGGCCUAAGUAGGGGAAAAAAAUAAGGAAGAAUUUUGAAUAAAAAUGAUGUUAAUGGGGCCUACGUACCUUAAAUAAAACAAGAGAGGGUAAGUAUAUAUUUAAAUAUUAUGGUGACACCUUGGUGAAGUAUGAAUUUGAUAUUUUAUGUGUACACGUGUAAAGGAUGAAAAAUAAAAGGAAAUUGGAAUUAAAAAAAUGUUUGAACGACCAAAUUGUAAAGGAUGAAAAGUUUGGAGGGUUAAAUGGUAAAUAAAAAAAAACUUGAGGACUUAUGUGCAAGUCCAACAUUUUAAGUUAAAUGAAAAUUAACUAACCAAGGAAAAUUAGAUUAUGUGGGAGGAUGGAAUAUGCAUGUAACAAAUACUAUUACAUGCAAAGAUAUGCAUGCAAGGAUGUACUUGUAGUGGGGAACAUGUGAGACCCCCACCAUGUGACAAACAAAAAAGCAUAAGACAAAAUGAAUAAGACAACACAUGCAUGUGGAUUUUUAAACUAAAAGAAUGCAUGGAAAAUUUAUGCAUGAUGGACACUUGGUGACAAUUAGACUAAAAGAAGAGAAAAUAGUUACAUGUAAUGUCAUUGGCCAAGGAGGAGGCUAUAUGAAAAUUAAGGUGGGAAAGUUGCAUGAAAGACCAUUGGACACAAAUAAGGUGGGAUUUAAGUGUAAAUGAAUUAAAGAAUGGAAGGAUAAUGAAUGGUGGAUAUUUAACCAAAAAAAUGCAGAGAAUAUUGGUGCAUGAAGAACCAUUGAGUGGCAAGGUGGUUUAAUAAGAAACUAAAGAAGAAAAACUAAGAAAUAAUAAAAAGAAAAGGGAAAAAGGCAGUGAAGGCUUUAGGAACUUGGGCAAACUGUGUCUUUGAGAGAAAAAGAAAGGAAAGAAAUGGCUUUGUAAGUUCCACCCACAUGGUAGAGAGAAAAGAGAAGAAAGGAUAGAGUUAAAGGGAAGCUCGAUUUUGAAGAAAACCUAAGGCAACUAUGAAGAUUUCCUUCCUUUUGCCUUGUUGAGAUUUGAUAUUUCACCAUCCAAAAGAGAUUUGAAACUUGGAAGAGGAUGUGUGGCUAUGUUUUGUGAUUCAAGUAAGGAAAAGGUAAGAAAAUGGCUUUAGUUUGAAUGUAUCCUUGGAAAUUCAGAUUGGUAACGUUAGGUUGUGUUUGUGGCAGCAAAGAAAAGCUUGAUUAGAGAGGAUUUAGUGAUAUGCAAGCAAUCAAACUCUUGGAUGCAUGAUGGAUUCAAAGUGAAAGAGAAAAGGUAAGCAUGGUAUUGUGUUUUAAGGCCUAUGGUCGGUAAAAUUGCUAAUAAAAUAAUUUAUGAAUAAUGUUGGUAGCUUGGUGAUUGGAACUUGGAAGAAUAUUGAAAUGCAUGUGAGGCUAAAGCAACCUCAAAGGUAAAAAUGAAUAAUGCUUUAAGUGUAGUUGGAAGAUUUUGAGAAAAUGGCCAUUGUUGUGUUGAUUGAAAACUUGAAAGACACAUUGUGAGGAAUGAUGAUUGUUGAAAAGAUCUAAAAAUGCAUGAGCUAGUUAGAAAUGCUAAGGUUGCUUGUUAUGUUAUUUGAAAGAAACAAGGAUGAAUAAUGUGGAUGGACGAUUAAGAAAUAAAGCAUUGAAAGUUAGAUAGACAAUUGUGCAUAUAAGCUUAGAAAUUUCUUGGUGAAAUCGGAUUUAUAGUUGCUGCCAUAUAUGUGAUUAAUAGUAUGAAAAUAAUUGUUUGAACAUGGCAAAUGUUAUUAGAAGAUUGACGUGGGCAUUUGAAGUCAUAAACAAAUUGCUGGGUUUAUGUAAUUCAAAGUUUACACUAAGGAUUAAGUGGAAACGAUUAUCACUUCAAAAUAAGAGACGAAAGUAUAGAAUUAAAUACGAAUAGAAAAUGUAGAAUAUAUUGGUAGCAAAGCUUAUUAAAUGUAUUGAAUUGAAAUUAUGUCAAAAAGUUGACAAAGUAAGGAUUAUUGCUGCAAGCAUAAAGUAAGCAUUUGAGGAAAUAUUAGUGGCAAAGCAAUAUCCCGCCAUUGGAUGGUGAGUAGGGGGUGUCUAUUUCAAAAGUUUCAUAAACUAUAUAUCGAUAUAUGUUUAAUAGACGUGUUGGUUUUCUUUAAAUACAAUUGUGGACGACAUGUGUUGUUAGCCUUGAUAGGAGAUUUUAAAUGGAUUUGCAAUCAAAUUAUACUGUUAUUGUAGAAAGCAUGAGUUGGUAGAAUGCUAGGCACUUGUGAAUGCCAUGCUUUUGGAAAUGUUUUGUAUAUAUAUAUAUAUACCAGAUAUGUAAAGGGUUUUAGAAAUCGGGAAACAAGCUCUUUACCAUGGUUUAUGUCAAAAUGUGCUUUAUGUGUUUGUGUGAUGUGCAUUCACGAAUAAACUUUAUGUUCACCAUGCUGAUUUGAUAUUUAAACCUCAUGCAAAGGUUUUACAUUAUAAAGUCUUACAAAUGGAUUUAUCACAUCACCAUGGUUGGUAUUUUGGAAAUAGAUUUAAAAUAAGCUUUUCAGAAUCCAAUGUGAGACCUUGAUCUUUAUAGACUCACAAUUAGAAGUAGACGUGAUAUCAUAGACUAGGGGCUAUUGCGUCAUUUCCUUAGUGAGCCCUAGAAGUAUGCUUUCAAACAAUAUUAAGGCCUAAGUAGGCCUAAGGCAUAAAUGAAUGAUGAAAUAAGGAUAAAAUGAUGAAGGAAAUAGAAAUAAUGAUGAUUUCCAAGGUAAGGGCAAAAUGGUCAUUUUUCAUCUCGGAUUGAAAUUUUUAAGUUUUAGUGAACUCGAGUAUUUCUAGACUAUUAUGGAGUUUGUCUUAGUGUCAAAAGAGUAAAAAGAUUGCACAAAGUAUUAGAGGAAGACAAAGUCAACUUGUUAAGGGCAUUUUCGUAAUUUAAGUAGAGUUUGGAUAAGCUUUAGCUAUAAAUAUCAUUUUUCCAACAACUUCUUCAUUUCUCCAGAAGUUGCUUCUUCUUCUUCUUCAUCCCAUCUCACGUUUUUUUCAUCCUCCAUGGAAGCUUGUUUUGAAACCCAUAUAACUUCUCUCAAGUUAGCUUCAAUUUUGAUGCUUUUGUGCACCUUUUCAUAUAACCUUUUGUGCUCUUGCACUCUCUCACUUUAAAACCCUUGAAAAGUCUUACUGCCAUACUUCCUCUCACUAGCUAGGUGUUUUAGACAGAAAAAGAGAGAGCUUCUAUAGUAACUUGAAAAUUUUUGGAAAGAAAUUCAAUUACAAAGCUACCAAGGUUCCAACAAAGCCCCACCGGCCCAUUUGAACCACUAAAGGAAGUUGGAGUUGGGUAAAAAUUUAACAAAUAUCAGUGAGUGAACUUGCAUUAAAAUGUUUGGGAUUAGGGCAUAUGUGUUUGAUUAAAUGCAUUGAAAUAUUUUAUCUGUCUUUCUUUAAAAUAUGCAUGGGAAUAAUCUUUUAAUGAAACGUUUUGCGUUGUGGAAUGUGACUGUCAUGAAUUCAUGUGCCCUAUGUUAUGUUGAUAUAUAUAUCUAAAUAUAUAUGAUAUGUAUUGAUAGUAAUAUUGGUUGCAAUUAAAACUGCGUAUGUGCGCGAUGUGGGGGAGCAGAUGCCGGUGAUGACGGGUGCAGGAGUGUGGAUGAUGAUAUUGCCUGUGCGUGAUGUGGGGGAUGCACAUGAUGACUCCAGCUAUGUGCGAGAUGUGGGGGUUGCACAUGAGCUGGGUGAGGCGGUGGUGGUGUUGGUGGUUAUGUAUGUGUAUAUAUAUUUAUGCAAUAGAAAGUUCAUGAAUAUGGUAUAUGGUUGUAAUGUAUGUGAAAUCUUGCAUGUUGAACCUCGAAAAUUAAUGAGUAUUUUCAAGUUGAUUUUGUCAUUGUAACAGAAUGGCCUUUGCUUGACAUAAUGAGAAUUUUUCUUGGUGUUGUGUUUCUUGCUGCAGCGAGAAACUCUCGGGUUGGGAGGCUUCUUGCAACCCUGUAACUUGCUGCAGUGAGAAUUCAUUAUCACUGCAACGAGAAGCCUUCUGUGGUGCUUGCUACCUUGUUUGGUUGCUGCCCUAUUUUCCAUUUCUUUAGCAAUAUAGUUGAUCAUGGACUUCCAACAUCAAGGAAUUAAUUAAUUAAGUUGGAGAUGAGGGGUUUUAGUGAAAAACCCUCGGCCGGCUGAUAAUUUGAGCCAAAUUUCACUUGAUCAACGAGAAUGCCUUUCCACUGCAGCGAGGACCCAUCAUUUCACUUGAGUUGCUUCAAUGCUAUUAGAGUUUUCACUUUUCAAAUUCUUUAUUAUGUAUAGAUCCUUCAUCAUCAAGUGAUUAACCAAUUAAAGGUUUAAUGAGAGGUUUUAAUAAGAAUUAAACUAAAUUGCAUUGUUUUGAAAAAAAAGUGCAUCAUGAUUUCUUAAACUUUUUUUGUCGUUUACUUGUUCCCUUCCUUUGUUCACUCACUAGGUUUAUACUCACUGUUUUUAACUUCAUGUUUUCAUAUCAAGAGGCAAUCGGUAACUAGGUUAAAGUGUCCUCGUAGAUUCGUCUCCUUGGUAGGUAUCUCGGUAUUCAAUAGCUGUACUUUCGCCCGAGUCUCUCUGCUAGAAGUUGAGUAUCUCUUUUGUUGUGUAUAGAUAAAACCUGAUGUAAAUUACUAAGAUAUUUGUCUUAGACAAUAUUUGUAUACUUUGAAUGGUAACGCCACUAUGAGUUGACAAUUGUUAACAUUAUUCUGAGUUGGAAUUAUGAAAUGUGACUUUAGAAACAUAUGAUAGAAUGAAGAACAGGUUAUGCAAAUAAGCUUGCUUGGACUUAGUGGGCUAUGCCCAUUGGGUCCAUGCGCCAGUCAUGGCCUGAAAAUUAGGCUGUGACACCCAACUUGCUUAUAAAUGGUUUUAUCAAACCAGGAGAUUCGAGAGUAGGUCGAAUGUCACAUUGGGGUAGUGUGACCCUUGUGCAUAAGUGAGCUUUAGCUAUGGAACCUUUGGGUAGCUGACGGGCUAUUAGACGUGGCAAGGCUACGGUUUAUGAUAUAUAUAUACGUGGCAAGGCCAUGGGAUGAUAUACAUGGAUAGACCAUGAGUUGAUAUGAGUGGUUGCGACCACAUGAUUUCUUCAAUGUCGGCCAACAUCGUCAAGACUGCCAUGGCUACAAAAAUCUGGUGGAGGAGGGCCUCUCGGAUGUCAUUAUGUGGAAGUGGGUCCACGAGGUUGAUUAUUACGAUUACUUACUCAAGAGUGAUAUCUCUUUGGGCUUUCAAAGAUGAAUUCUUUCGCAUGGUGAGAAAUACAAGUUUUUCUGUAGCUCCUUAUUUAUAUGAUGAUUUGGUGUUUAAUACCUCGAGGAUGAGAUAGUUUAUGAGCUUGUGUACAAGCUUUGAUAAUGCUUGAUUUCAUGGGAGCAUGCAUGCUUAUGUUAGUCCGAUUUUAAGUAAAGGACGUUAAAUGAUUUCAAUGGUAGAAAUCUUUUAGUUGCACUGAUUUUGAUACAUUAUUUGAAAUGAUUAUUCUGCAUCACUAUUCUUGGGUUAUACGUAAGGCACAAAUGUUCCAUUUAAGUUUAAAUUGUUAUAUACACUCUCAUGUUUUUAACAUUCAAAUUUUCUACCCGUGGCUUGUUUCCCAUCUACGCCUUAUUCACGGAGUCGAUGAUCAUUGAGUCUGUGAGACUCACCCCCUCUUAUAUUUUUUUGCAUAUAAGUGAUCAGCCUAGCGUGCAUUCAUUAGCACUUAUUGUCCACCACGGAUAGGUAAAGGCAUCUUAUAGCACUUUAUUCCGAGUCGCUCCAGUACUAGAGGUCGAGUCAUCAUAGUGUAUUUUGUUUUUUGUAAAUAGACACUAGUCUUAAUGCAAAUGUAUCAUUGGAGACUAUAAACUAUAAUGUAUUUUUACAAUUAUGAUGAAUAAAGUUAAAGUCAAUUUAUUACGACUUUUUGAUCAAAUCAUAUUACUAAGAGUUAUAUGGUUCAAAACGAUUAUAUGAGUAGGCGGAAUGAAUAUAAUGUACUAAUAAUGGUUUCUAAUAAGGCUUGUUCGGGACUUGGUGGGUCCUCUUGCAAGACUCGAACACCAGUAACGAUCGAGGAACAGGUCGUCACAUAAUCCAUUGGAAAUAUAAGAGGAAGGGCUUUAAUUUUGAUGUUUUCCACUUUGCCCAGUUCCGAUCGGAUCAUGGUCAAAAUCCUUGUCAAAGUUGAAGCAAUGUAGUAGUCUGCACAAACUGAAUAUGAUGCGGUAGUUUGAGCAUAUUUUUCACUCCAAAAGUUAAAUUGAUGUGAGUUUUAUGCCAUUAGAAAGCUAAAAGACAUGGCUACAACUUUCAUGUUUACCAUUUUUCCCAUUUUGUCCUGAAAAAUGGUGAAUAUUACAUCACAAGAUGAAAUAGUGCAGUAGAGACAACAUAAGAAAGGAGCACCAUUGUGCCACUUGAGAGUAAGGUGUUGCAGCACCUAAAAGGCAAGGUCACAGUGCUCGACAAGUUAUCAAAAAUUUGUUUUUGACGAGAUUUUGGAAACUAAGGUUUUUAGAGCCUAUUUAAAGGGCUUUUUAUAGAGGUUUUGAGAGGACAAUAGCAACUAUUUUGGAGAAAAAAAGCAAACAAGAAAGCAAGAAAGCAAAGGAAUUUGAGAGAGAAUCAAGAUCAAAAGCUUCAAUUGUUAGUUUCUUUCUUUACUUUUGUGUUUCUCUUAUUUUCUUUGACUUGGUUUAAUGGCUAAUUUUUUUUUGGAUGAUGUUUUAUUUAAAUUUUAUGAACUAAUUUGUGUUUCUAGGAUUGUGGUGGAUUUUAACAUGUUGUCGAAUAUUUGUUUCUCUUUUAUUUACUAUGAAUGGGUAUAGUUUUGCUUAUUUAAAUAUGUUCUUAAGGCUUUUAAUUGACUGGCCAACAAUUAACUGAUUUGUGAAUCUAUUAAGACUCGACAAAGAGAUUUUAGAUUGGACUAAAGUUUGAAUAGUUUAUGUUCACAUCACUCAGGUGAUCUCAUUCAUGAUUUAAGUAAACUUAUGCCAAUUGUCAUACAUAGCUAAAUUAGAACACUAGCUUAAUGAACCUUAAAAAAUUGAUUUCUAUAGACAUACAGUGACCCAAUUAAGUUAGGUUUUCAUGUAAGCAUCUCCACUCAGGCUUGUACAUAGCCUUGGAUUUUAGGUUAGUAAAACCAACCAUGAAUGAAAAUAAUAGGAUAAGCUUAUAUCAUAUGAAGUGUUGGAUGAACUCAUAUCACAGGUUUUAAUCUAUUACCUUUCUCAAGUAAUUUUAAUUUUUGUUAGUUAAUUUAGUGCUUGUUUUAAUUAAUUUUGUGAAAAUUUUAGUUACUUAAAUAAGAUUAAUUGGUAAAAAAUUUUAGUACUUAGUAAAGAUUUAGGAACAAAUCUCUAUGGGAAUGAUACUUUUUUUCGUCACUAUAUUACUUGUUUACAAUAGUGUACACUUGCAUGAAAAUUCAACAAGUUUUUGGCCCUAUUAUGGGUAUUUGUUUUCCUAUUUAUUUUUCUAAUAUUAAUAUUCAUAGAUUAAUCGUAAUUUGAGUUUUCUUUCUUUUAUUUUUAGGUAUGUUUGGUUAAGGUGAUGAAUUAUAAUAACUAUCAAUGGCUAUCGGAACAAUCUGAGCCUAGGAGGGUUGCUAGUGAUUAUGAAUUGGCUAUUAGUGCUUUGACCACCCAAGUAGAUGCUUUCUCAAAGAAUUGACACAUGGGGUGUUAAUGUUUUUCAGAGUCCUUUUGUGACAUGCAAGCUUUGUGGAGAUAGGCAAUCAAGUGAUUGUUGUCUAGCCUAUUAUGAAUCAAUUCCAUUUGAUGGAAACAUCAACGGGCAGCAAACUAAUUCAUACUCCAAUAGUUACAACUCAGGGUGGAAUCACCUAAAUUUUUCAUGAAGUAAUGAUUAAGGUCUUAUAUAUUCAUCAUAGCCUUAUUUUUAUAAUGAUGUUCAGUCACAAGUUAGAGCCCUUAUACUUGAGAAAAAGCCAACUUUGGGAGAGAUGCUAAUGCAAUACAUAGCCAAGAAUAAGAAAUACAUGGCAAAUAUGGAUGCAGCCAUUCAAAGUAAUGAAGCUUUAAUGAGAAAUAUUGAGACAUAUGUGAAUCAACUUAUUAAUGACAUCAAUAAUAGGACUUAGGAAACUUUACCAAAUGACACUAAGCCUAAUCCUAGAAUAGAAGAAUACGGUAAGCAUCUUGACAAGGUAAAUGGCAAGAAUGUCAUAGAUGAUGGAUGUAAAGUAGAUUAAAAGAAUACUUUCAACAAUCAAGUUCAAGAUGCAGAAGAUAAACAAGAAGAGGAGGUAUCUACACCACCACAAGUCCAGCCAUAUGUGCCUCUCGUUCCUUUUUUGGAUACAAGUGAAGAGUUUCCUAAGAAAGCUAUUGAUAUGGAAAAUCCAACAAAUCUCCUCGAGGCUUGUUUGGUUCAAGAUGCAAUAAAAAAGGACAAGAAUGAAGAACUCACAAAUGUCACACAUGUUUUGAAAGCUUAAGUAAAAGUGCAUUAUCCAAGAAGAAUUCAAUUUGAGAAGUAGGGUAAAAGUCAACCUAUUCCACUACCUUGGGUUUAGCAAGCACCAAAUUUUAAGUUAAAGCCACUACAACCUCAUCUUAGAAGGAGGCUACUUUCACACCUCAAGCUUUCUCCAUGUAAACUUAAACCUCCUUGAAGGAUGAAUGGAGACCUUAACCAAAGUCAAGCUAUUGACUAUAAAAAAGCACUUAUUGAGAGGCAACCCAAGCUAUAUCCUUUCAGAUUUAGUUAUUAUUUUAGUUAGUUUUGUUUUUCUGUUUAAUAAGUAGUUAUAACCUCUCCCUGGCUUGUUUUGUUAAGUAUGUAUUUUUGGAAAGCAUGAAGAUGAAGAGAAGGAAAAUUGGAACUUUCAAUGCACUGCCACUAUUGAUAAGAGAGUUUAUUUUCCUUAUCAUUUUUUAGCUUUUCACAUUAAGGGAAAUGUACAAUUUAAGUUUGGGGGAGGGUUUUUGUCAAGCUUGACCGUAUAAAAUACUUGCCAUGUCAUUCAUGUGAUUGACAAUAUGCUGGCAUACUUGGAAAGCCCCGAAAAAUCGUCAAAAGAUGGUAGUGUACUAAAUGGUACAACUAAGUUGAAUUAAGACUCGAACUAGACCAAAUAAAGAUUUCAAGAUGAAAUUUAGAAUUUUAAAUUCCCAGAAUGAUUUAAUAUGGUGAUUUGGAGUUCGAGAAUCGAUUUGGAGUCAAAAUGGAAUUUUCAUGACGUUGGGGUAAAAUGGUCAUUUUACCACCCAAGGGCAAAAUUGUAAUUUUACACAACCCAACACUUUCAUACUCAUAGAUUUCAUCCCUUAACAUUUUAUAUGGUGAAUAAUUGAAAUAUUUUAUGUGGUGGAGAAAGAAAGCUUAAUUGUUAAGUGUAAAAUGUGGACUAAUGGUAUGGUGACAAGUGGCAAGCUUAUAUUUGUUUAUAAUUUACAUUAAAAACCAGCACAUAAGUCCUCCCAACUCAUUUCUCUUGGUUGGCCAAAGGAAGAAAAGUUAAGAAAAGAAGAAGAACAAAACCCUAGCUAAGAAAUUCAAGAGAAAUUCAGAAAAUUUCAAAGAAUCAAAUGACAAAAGGUAAGAUUUUUCAAUUCUAGCUUGAGAUCUGUCUUUCCUAAGCAUUCUUUCUUAUUUUCAUGGUUGAAAUUCAUGAUUAUAUGAUGAAUCUCUUGCUGGCUGAACAUAUAGAGAGAGGUUUUAAUGGUUAAUUUGGUUAGAUUUCAAUAUAUUCUAGUGUUUUUAGUUAGUUAAUGAUGUGUAGCAUGAAAAGCAAACAAGAAAAAUUCAUUUUCUUCCAUCACCCUCCAUUGGCCGAAUCUUCCCUAUGGUGUGUUGAUGGUGGACUUGAUUUUAUUUCAAGUGAUUUGGUUAGAAAUUAAUGAUUUAUGGUGUAAAAAUUAAGUGGAAAAAACCAUAGUGUUCAUGCACCUACCAUGGCCGAAAUUCCCAAGAAGAAAUGUGAAGAUGAUCUUGCUAAAUUUUAUGUUACUUGACUUGAGUUUGAUGAUUUGGAGUAUUAGGAGGGAAAUAGAGUUAUUUGGAGUUAAAUUGGACAUAUUGGCCAAUUAAUCGGAUGAUAGAUCGAAUUAGGCCAAUACCAUUUUAUUUAGGUACACAAUUGAAUUUAUGUAGAACACCGUGUUUAGACGAUGAUCCGAACUAUUCGCAUUCCAUUGCAUGCAUUCAUAUAGAGCCUAGAUUAGUUUUAUAAUGGUUUAGCACCAAUGUGGUAAAUUGCUUGAUUAUUCAUUAUGUCUAGGUUGUGAAUCCUCCAGUAAGGGCAAAGAAGUUGUACCCGAACACCUGGACUAGGAGUACUUCGACUGCCGAUAUUGUGAGUAACCUUAUUAUUGUCUUAAUUAUCUAAAGUAUGUUUUUAUCCGAUUUUGUAAUUCUAUGGAAAAUGUGUUUAAAUGAAAUGAUUUUAUAAAUUGUUUUGAAAUUUAAUGAUAACUUGAAAAUGGAGUAAUUGGAGACAACUUGCUGUAUUGUAAAUUAUGUUUUGAAUUGAAUGGCUUAUGACAAUGUGGGCAUGAAUGGCUGGAUGGGUAUUUGUGUUGAAAAUGUAUAAACUGUUGUUUGCUUUGAUAGGCUGGAUAAUGAUAAAAUUGCCAUGUCAUGCUAUUGAAUUUUUAUUGAAUUGGUGGGUUAUAAAUUGGUCACUGUAGUGGCGGGUUUUGUGGGCCAACCUAUUAGAGGGGCACGAAAUCCAGUUAUAUUUUUUCCUUGGUCAAAGAGGCACGUAGGGUAUCUCUUAAGGUAAAGUUUAGAGUUCACUUCAUGCCAAACCACCAUGUGAAAGUGAAUUCAGCCAACACCAAGGAACGACCGUGCUUUUAAAUGUAAAAAUGUGUUUUGUGCUUAUAUGACUUUUUAACAACCUUGGCGGAUUCGGUUAGAUGCCUCGGUCAAGGUAUCCUGGAGAAUGAGUUUUGGCACGAGCCAAGUUUUUAAGAGAUUCAUAAGCCUCGUUGUAUAUUUUGGAUGAAAUGUAACUGGUUUAGAUGAUUUGAAAUGUGUUUUGAUAUUAUGAACCAUCUUAUGAUGAUCCAUUUUAAUCGUCUCUAUUUACUCGGCUUUAGAUAUUUUAGAUGAUAUUUGUUUACUCACUGGGAUUAUAUAAUCUCAUCACCCUCCUUUCCACCCAUUUCAGGCUCAGGAUAGUUUGUAGAUAGCUAAUAUCGUCGAAGGCUACAGUUGGCUUUACUUCCUCAAAAAUCGUAGGUUCACAGCCUUCGUUCACUUUUGUCAUUUAGGGGCCCACGUGUCAUUGUAAAUUUAAUUACAUACCUUGACUAUCUGUAUUACAGUAUGUAUGAAUUUAUUUCGCUUUUACGCUACAAAAAUUCCUUACAGAUAACUCUAUAAAAAUUUUUUUAUAAGAAAAUGGAAUAUUUUAUUGAAUAUUUUUAUUAUAUCCAAAUAGUCAUAAUUUUACUUUAAAUGAAUGUUUUAGAUAUCUAAACUUAUUUUUGAUUAUGAAAUAUGUGUUUUGCACUCGCAUACUACAUUAUUAGCUGGUUUCGAAAUUUUUGGAGAAAAAUGACCAAAAUACCCUUGAGAGACGAAAAUUAUUUUUAAUUGUUUUGGUUUGGAAAUAGCUUAUAAUCUUUUAAACUAUGAUAUUAGCAACUGUUGCUCGCAAGGGAGGUGAGAAAACUAAUAUUAAAGCCUUGCGAGAUUUCGGUUGGCAUUUCAGGUAAUGAAUGUCUAUUGGGACAACGCGGCAGUUGUCACGGGCUCAAGGAGAGUACCGGGUCGUGACAGUUUUAUUGAUAUUAGUUUUUAUGUUGAUUUUAGGUUAGUUUAUUUUUGUUAAAUUUUUUUCUUUCAUCAUUUAAUUUUAUGCAUAUUUUAAGAUUUUAAUUAGAGUUAGUAUGUGCCAAUUUACUUUAUUUACCUAUCUAGUGAUGAUAACCAAUUAGCGUGUUAAUCUUUUGCUCAUAGUAAACAUGAAUAUUGUUUUAGUUUUAUAUGAAUUCGUAUGUUUAGCAUCAUGAUAGGAUGAGAUUUCCAUAAGUCAACACUAUAUCUCUUGCAUUAAAUUAUUAUGUACCUUUAGAGAAAACUUAUGUAAAUAUAAAUUUUUUAAACCAUGUUUGGAGUUCUAGAAUUUGUUUGACUCUUCCUUGAGGCAAAAUCAUAAGCUAUACUUAAUUAGGGAGAUGACUUAGGCCAUUCUUGGACUGAUUAAGCCUUUCAAGCUAACUUAGUUACAUUUUUAUUCAUAGUAUACCCAUUUGAGCUUAAAUUGUCCUUUUCUUUGAUUACACACAUGAAAAAAAUUAACUUAGCCUUUGACAAAUUUUCUAAUCUUACAAUCCUCACUUUUAAGCAUAUUUAUUGUUUUAACAAAGAUAUGUUGAGCUAUUUGAUGAAAAAAGUGAAAAAGAUGAAGUGUAGAGACAGAUGCAAAAUUUUUGUUAAGCAUUCAUCCCACUACUAAUAAAAGAAACAAGUUUAGAGGUGUUGAAUUAAGAAAAAAAUUGUUUAAUGAAUGAAAAAUGAAAAGAAAGAAAAAAGGUGUACUUUAUGAUGAAAAAUAAGGUUAUAUAGGUCUUAGAACAAUUAUGUGCUUAGGGUGAUUUGAGCUCCAUAUUAUCCUAUAUCCUACCUUGACCCUAGCUAUACAUUACAAGCUAAACAGAGUUCUAAGGAUCCUUGGUUAAGUGUUAGCCUACAUUAGUGGAGAAGGAGAUCAAAAGAAAACAUAUGAAACUUCAAACUAGUUUGAAGUUUGUAUGAGCAUAAACUUAUCCGGAGUGCAUGAUAGUCAUUGUAAGAGAUUUCAUACACACACACAAGAGUCCAUUUGAAAAUGAGCUUGCAUUUGAAUGUAAUGUGAAUUUAGAUAAUAUUUAUGUUUUGCUUUGAGUUGGGAAAAUGUGAUAAUUUUUGAGGAUAUUAAAGGUGAUUAAUGAAUUGGUGCAAUUGAUUUCUAGUUUAGUUGUUGUUCUUCAUUUAGGUUAUUGCAUUUUAGUUUAUGUUUUGCUCGAGGAUUAGCAAAAUCUUAAGUUUGGGGGUGUGAUAAUUCUACUGUAUAGAGUUAUUUUAACACAUUUUGAGGGCGUAAGUAGCUAGGUCUAUGAGAUUUAAGGCUUGAAUUUGAGUAAUUUAGGUGUUUUUCAUAGUUAAGUUAAAUUACAUAUUGAUUAGUUUAAUUUAAGUUAUUUUAGCUUAAUUUUAUGUUAUUUUAUUUUAAAUUACUUUAAGAGUAGCUAUUGCCAAUUUAUCUUAUUGCUUUUGCAGGAAAUCUAAUGAAAAAGGCUCAUUCGAUGAAAAUUUGUGCACGUAUGGUGAAAGCUUCAUUCGUAUAUGUUGCAGUAUUUUGAGGAUAACCUGAGCUACAAAUAUCCAAUUGAUGCAAUUCAUAAUCCAUCAUAAAGAUAAAGGAAAGGACAUUAAUAUUUAUUUACCAUUUCACCCAGUUCUAAUUGGAUUAUUGUCAAUAUCCUUGUUGAAGCUGGGGCACUGCAAUAGUCUACAUAGACUAAAUAUGAUGCGGUAUUUUGAGCGUAUCUUUUACUCCAAAAGUCCAAUUGAAGUGACAUUUUAGCCAUUGGAAAGCUAAAAGAUAGGGAUACAACUGUUAUGUUUACUAAUUUACACAUUUCAAUAUGGAAGAAGGCAAAAAUUGCAUCACAAGAUGAAGUAGUGAAAUAGAGAUAGCAUAAGAAAGGAGCACCAUAGUGCCACUCGAGAGUAAGGCAUCGUAGUAGUCAAGAGGCAAGGCCGUGGAGCCCAACGAGUUACCAAAAAUCUGCUUUGUUAGGAUUUUGGAAAAUAGGGUUUUUAGAGCUUAUUUGCAAGGCCUCCUUCAGAGGCUUUGAGAGGACAUCAAACAACUAUUUUGGAGAAAAAGAGCCAAAAACAAAGCAAGAAAGCAAGAGAAUUUGAGAGAGUAUCAAGAUUAAAAGCUUCAAUCAUUAGUUUUUUUCUCUAUUUUUGUGUUUCUCUUAUUUUCUUUGGCUUGGAUUAAUGGCUAAUUUUCUUUAGAUGAUGUUUUAUAUAAAGGUAAAAGACCCUCACCUCUUUAAGUUUUAAUCAAAUUUUCAAAUGGGUCCAUUUGUUUUCGAAAUGAAAAAAAAGAAAGGGUGUUUUAAACAUUUCAUAUUUAAUAUUAACGUUGUUUAGACGUUUGGGGAGGAGUGUCCAUUUUAAAAACUAAUGGACCUUCGUGUAAUUUCGAUCAAAUUAUGAACUAAUUUCCAUUUCUAGGAUUAUGGUGGAUUUCAACAUGUAGUAUGAAUACUUGUUUCUCUUUUAUUUACUAUGAAAGGGUAUAGUUUUGCUUAUUCAAAUAUGUUCUUAAUGCUUUUAAUUGUUUGGCCAAUAAUUAUUUGAUUUGUGAAUCUAAUUGAGACUCGACUGAGAGAUUUUAGAUUAGACUAAGGUUUGAAUAGUGUAUGUUCAUGUCACUUAGGUGAUCUGAUUUGCAAUUUGAGUAGACAGACGCUAAUUGCCAUGCAUUGCCAAAUUAGAACACUAGCUUAAUGAAUCUUAUUUAAUUGAUUCCUAUAGACAUAUAGUGACCCAAUUAAGUUAGGUAUUUAUGCGAGCAUCUUGACGAAGACUUCUACAUAGCCUUUGAUUCUGGGUUAGUAAAGUCACCCAUGAAUGUAAAUAAUAGGUGAAGUUGGUAUCAGAUAAAGUGUUAAAUGAACCCAUAAGUUUAGGUUUUAGUAUAUUGCCUUUCGCAAGUAAUUUUGAUUUAUGUUAGUUAAUUUAGUACUUGUUUUAACUUAGUUUUAAUUAUUUUUUUGAAAAUUUUAGUUACUUAAAUAAGAUUAAUUUGUUAUAAAUUUUAGUACUUAGUAAAGAUUUAGGAACAAAUAUCUAUGGAAACAAUACUCUACUUCAUUACUGUCACGACCCAAUUUUCGAGCCGUGACAAGCGCAUGGACCCAAUGGGCAUAGCCCACCAAGCCCAAGCAAGCCUACUUAUAUAAUCCUGCUCAUCAUUCCAUCAACUAUUCUUAAAGUCACCUUUCAUACUUCCAAUCUAUAAGAACCUAAUUAAUAUGCUAUAGCAAUCAAAACUACAUUUCACAUUAACCCAAAUAAUGUUAAACAUUGCCACUCAUGGUGGCUUACCAAUCAAAAUAUACAUAUAUGCUCUAAGGCUUCAUUUUAGUUCUUUACAUCACAUGCACGUAUUUAUAAACAAAAUGACUCUAGGCCUCCAGCGAAAUGACCAAGGUGAAGGGACGGCUACUGAAUGCCAACAUACCUACCAAAGAGACGAAACUACGUGGAAACCUCGGCCUAGGUUCCAACUACCUCCUAAUCUGAAAACAUGAAGUUGAAAAUAGUGAGUACAAACUCAGUGAGUGAACAUAAGAAGGGAACAAGCAACAAUAAGGAAAGCUGAUAAUCAUGAUGCACUUAUUUGAAAACAAUGCAACUUAGUUCAAGUUCUUAUUAAAAUCCCUCUAUUUAACCCUGGGUUGUAAAAUCAUUUAACGAUGAAGGAACCAUGUUCGGCAUAAAAUUAGAAAGAGAGGAAAUUUCCAACAAUCAUCCAAGCAAGGCAGCAUAAACAGCAUGUUUCUCACUGUAAUAAAAUCAAUUUGCAAGUCAAUGGGAAAUAUUCAAGAUUCAUCAUACCAUACAAUCACAUAUUAUAAUCAUGAUUUUUUUAUUGCAUAUACAUAUACUUAAGCAUAUACCAAUUCGUAUACCACCCCAUUUCACCCAGCUCAUGUGCAUCCCCCCACAUCGUGCACAUAGUCGGACACCCCAUCUCAACCAGCUCAUGUGCAUCCCCCCACAUCGUGCACACAACCGGACACCCCAUCUCACUUAGCUCAUGUGCAUCCCCCUACAUCGUGCACAUAGCUAGAGUCAUCAUGUGCAUCCCCCCACAUCGUGCACAGUUAAUGCCAUCGUGUGCAUCCCCCCACAUCGUGCACAGUCAAUGCCAUCGUGUGCAUCCCCCCACAUCGUGCACACGUGCAGUAUCACCAUCCAUCUCCCUCACCACCGUCAUCACUGGCAAGUGCACAUUCACCCCGCACAUGCACGGUUGCAUUUGUCACACAAUGGUACCAUUUAUGACAUAGUAUAUAUAUAUAUAUAUAUAUAUAUAUAUAUAUCAACNGUACCAUUUAUGACAUAGUAUAUAUAUACAUCAACUUUAUACAGAAACAUAUGAAUUCAUCACACAAUCCAUUUCAUAACAUAAAAACAUUUCAUAAGGGCUUGUUCCUGUGCAAGUUUUGAAGAAAGAACCAAGUAAAACAUUUUAGGGGAUUCAAUCAAAUAUAUAUGUGUAUAUCCCAAAACCUUUUAAUGCAAGUUCACUCAUCGGUACUUGUUGAACCUUUAGUCGACUCUAACUUUCCUAAUGGUUCAAAUGGGGCUGAGGGACCUUGUUGGAACCUAUCACGCACAAAAACAUCACAGCUAGACAAAUUUACAUUAAUAUCACUCCAAAAACUGUUUCCCAAUUCAAGCUUCAAUAGCCCCUCCUAUCUACCUUCCAAUUACCAUUUGAUUGGCUAUUCCAUUUCUCUACUUUAGUAACACUAACACAACUCGUAACUCUAAUUACUAGCCAUCAUCAAUAACUUAAAACCAAUCCUAAUUCAUCACUCACCUUUGUGGAUGGUAAUGAAAUUUCUUCCUAAGAGUCCUCAAGCUGUCAUGAAACCUUUUUUUCUCUCUCUACAAAGUUCAGCUGGUGAGAAAAAGUAUUCAAAAAAGACUUUUAAGGCUUUGUUUAAGGUGAAGGAGUAAAAGAGUAUGAAAAACCCUACAACAGGGUGUGUAAAGAACGAAAAUUGAGGUUAGUUUGAGAGAGUGAUGGAAGCUUGAGAAAAACUUUCAUGGAAGAGGAGAAAAAUGUGAGAUGGGAUGAGGAAAAAGAAGAAGUUACUAGAGAAAUGUGGAAGCUGCUGGAAAAGAUGAGAUCUUUAUAGUUAAAGCUUAUCUAAUUUCUCAUGCAAUUACAAUAAUGCCUUUAAUAAGGCCACUUGUCUUCUUUAUUUUCUUGUGCAAUCUUUUCACUCUUUUGACAUUGGGAAAAGGUCCAAAAUCCUCUAAAAGAGGUCCCUUAAGUAGCCCUCAAAAGUCCUAGCUUCAAAAAUCCUCUAAACUUGUUAUUUGUGGAAAUUACGGUGAGGGUCGUGACUCUUAAUUUCCAGUGCCGUAGCACUCAAAUGUUCUAUCCAAAUUUGUUCUUCUGGCACAAUACUUUUACUUUGACAAGGAUUUUGACAACCUUCCCGUCAAAACUGGGUAACUUGGUAAACACCAAAGUUGUUUCCCUGCCUCUUAUCUUUCUAAUGGUUCAAAAAUCAUAUUUUUUGGACUUCUGUAGUGGUAGUUAUCAUUGAAAAACUAAAAUAUAUGCAAAUAGAGCAACAACCCACUAUGCACCUUUCUUCACCAAUUGAAAUUAUUUUUUAGUCCUACACCUAUAAUGACAUAAAAUAAUUAUAAGUAAUGUAAAACUAGCAUCAUUAGCUCAAAUUAAACCUUUAAACAUAAGUUCUACCUUGAGUUACGAAUUUAUGAAGGUCGAGGUUUCACAAUUACUAUAUUACUUAUUUGCGAUAGCGUGCACUUGCGUGAAAAUGCAACUACAAAGAUUGAAGAUUGAAGAUAUAACAAAUCUUUAGCUUUCUGUUCUUUUCUUUUCAUCUUUAUUUUUGUUGAAUUGUUAUUAUAGUUAUGUUUAUUUGGAUUUUGCUUUUAUUAUUCAUUAUGAACUAAUUUUUCUAUCUAGGAUUACAAUUAAACUCGACAUGUAAUUUGAAUUCUUUAUCUCUCUUUCACUUACAAUUAAUGGAAUAUGAGUUGUUUAUUCUAAUUCUAUGUUUAAUGAUUGUAAUUACUUUGUCAAGCCCUACCUUAUAAAAUAUUAUCCAUGUCAUUCAUGUGGUUGACAAUAUGCUUGCAUACUUGGAAAGCCCCGAAAAAUCGUCAAAAGUCGUUAGUGAACCUAGAAGUGCAACUAAGUUGAAUUAAGCCUCGAACAAGUCCAAAUAGAGAUUUUAAGAUGAAAUUAAGAAUUUUAAAACCCCAGAAUAAUUUAAAAUGGUGAUUCGGAGUUUGAAGACUGAUUUGGAGUCAAAUUGAAAUUUUCAUGACCUAGGGGCAAAAUGGUCAUUUUGCCACCCGAGGUUAAGAUGUGAGUGUUGGAUGAAAAUUUUGACUAAGAUUGACUAUUGAGAACAAAAUUUGAGUUUGAGAAGUGAAAAAUGACAUUUUUUCAAGUAUAGGGGUAAAAUAGUCAUUUUGUCACCUCAAGGGCAAAAUGGUAAUUUUACAAACCCAACACUUGUCCAGUACAUAGAUUUUACCCAAUAUUAUCAUGGAUAAUUGAGGAAAUUUAUAUGGUGGAGAGAGAUUGCUUAAUGAGUAAGAAUGACACAUGGACCAAUGGAAUGGUGAUAUGUGUCAAAUUCUCAUCCAUUUAAUAUUGAGGCAUUUUAAAAAAUAGUCCUUAAAGAUAAGAUGUUUUUAAAAAUAGCACUAUUUAUAAGUUUAACUAUUUUUAAUCAAGUUGGACAAAAUUACCCUUAAUGAAGUUGCACACUAUGAUGUUACACGCCAUGUACAAAAACCUGUGACAAGCUAUGGUUAGUGUGUUACACGCUAUGUACAAAAAUAUGUGACACGCCAUGUACAAAAAUCUAUGACAAGCUAUGGUUAACUUGUUACACGCCAUGUACAAAAACCUGUGACAAGUCGUGGUUAGCGUGCUACACGCUAUAUACAAAAAUAUGUGACAUGCCAUGUACAAAAACCUGUGACAAGCCAUGGUUAGUUUAUUUUUCACGCUAUGUACAAAAAUAUGUGACAAGCCAAGUACAAAAUCCUGUGACAAGCUAUGGUUAGGUUGUUACACGCCAUGUACAAAAACUUGUAACAAGUUAUGGUUAGGUUGUUACACGCCAUGUUGAAAAGAAAUACUAUUGUUACACGCCAUGUAAAAAACCAUGUUACACGUCAUGGUUAAAAAAGGUUGUUACACGCCAUGUUGAAAAAAAAAUAUUGUUGUUACACGCCAUGUUGAAAAAAUAUUAUUGUUACACGACAUAUUCAAAAACAUUUUGUUAUACUUUAAUGUCUAAAAUGUUGUUGUUGUUACUUACGAACCAAAACUUCAAAUCCUCUCAACUUUUUUUUUGUUUCUCUGACAAUUUGGCACAGAUUAAAGUGUUUCUAACAUGUUUUCAUAAAUCAAAAUACAAAUAUUUUUUUAUCUAAAACACCUACUUUGACUAAAAAAAAUUCUUUGAAAACCUAGAUUUAUAAAUUUGAAAAUUUUGAAUUUAUAGGUAUCUAAGUCUCGAAUUGAUUCAAUUAAAUGCUAUUUUAUACAUUUGUGAUUAUUUUUACAGUUUUAUUUUUAUCCAAAAUACCUAAAAAUCGAAUUUUCAAAACAGUCAACCACCCACCCAAGCACGUCAAAACCAUUGCUUGGUGUCUUGAAAGCGUAACAAAGAGAAAUAUGAAAAUGCGGGAGAGAGAAAUCGAAAGCAUAAUAGAUGAAUGCCGAACAGAGAAAUCGAUAAAAUUUUAGAGACUGAGAUGGUGAGAGAGAAAUCCAAAGCACAGAUGAGGAGUAAUGGGGAGAAAUUAUGAUGAAUAGUUUAAUUUAUUUGAAAUAGUUUAAAGGGUAUUUUCGUCAAGUCAUGAUUAAAUAUGGGUAAAAACAGUUAAACUUAUUUUGAUGGUUAUUUUUAAAAUGUGUUUAUAAAGAAAGGUCAUCUCACACAAUUUCCUUUUUAAUAUUUUUCUUAUAAAUUAGCAUAAAAUCAGCCUAUUUCUCUUCAUUAUGGCCGGCCAAAGCAAGAACAAAGGAAGAAAAGAAAGAACCAAAACCUAGGUGGAAAAAUUCAAGGAAAAAGUGUGAAAAUUCAAAGAAUCAAGUGAAAAAAGGUAAGAUUUUUUAAUUCUAGCUUGUGAUCUACCUUUCCUAUGCAUUUUUUUUCAUUUUCCAUGGUUGAGAAUCAAGUUUGCAUGAGGAUACCCUUACUGGCCGAACAUUGGGGGGAGGAGUUUUGAUGCUUGAUUUGGUUAGAUUUUAAGAUAUUUUAGUGUUUUUAGUUAGUUAGUGAUGUGUAGCAUGAAAAACAAGCAAGAAAAAUUCAUUUUCUUCCAUCACCCAUCAUUAGCCGAAUUUUCCAUGUAGAGUGAGGAUGAUGGAUUUGAUUUUAUUUCAAGUGAAUUGGUUAGGAAAUGAUGAAUUACGAUGACAAAAUCAAGUAAGAAAAAUCAUAGUGUUGAUGCACCCACUAUGGCCGAAAUUCCCAAGGGAAAAUGUGAAGAUAAUUUUACUAAAUUUUAUGCUAUUUGACUUAUAUUUGAUGGUUUGGAGAAUUGGAAGAAAAAUGGAGUUAAUUGGAGUUGAAUUGGACAUAUUGGCCAGUUAAUCGGGAGAUAGAUCGAAUUAGGCCAAUACCGUUUUAUUUAGGUACACAAUUGAAUUUGUGUAAAACACCGUGUUUAGAUGAUAAUCCAAACAAUUUACAUCCCAUUUCAUACAUCCAUAUAGUUUUAUAACGGUUUAGCACCAAUGUGGUAAAUUGCUUCAUUGUACAUUAUGUCUAGGUGGUGAAUCCUCCGAUAAGGGUAAAGAAAUUAUACCCGAGGAUCGAUAGUCAGAAUACUCUAAAAAUUCUACUCUCGAAAUAGUGAGUAAUCUUAUCUUCAUUUUAAUUAUCUACAGUGGUCUUUUUAUUCGAUUUUGUGAAUUUUAUCGAAAAUGAGUUAAAUGGUAAAUCUUUGUGUUUAGUAACUAAAAUGUGAUUUAAUGAAAUGAUAUUAUAACAUCGUCUUGAAAUUGAAUGGUGGUUUGAAAAUAGAGUAAUUGGAGACUGUUUUCAUUUGUUGUAAAUUCAUGGUUUGAAUCGAAUGGCUUAAGACAAUAUUUGCAUGAAUCGCUGAAUUGGUAUUUAUGUUGAAAUAUAUGAACUGUGUAUUUAGCCUCGAGAGGCUGGAUUGUGAAAUAAUUGCCAUGUCAUGCUAUUGCAAAUUUUAUUGUAUGGUGGGUUUAGCUUGCUGCAGUGAGCGGGUUCUGUGGACCAGCCUAUUAGAGGGGCACAAAAUUCGAUUAUAUACAUACCUCGAUCGGAGAGGCGCGUAGGGUAUCUUCUAAGGUAUGGUUAGAGUUCACAUCACGCUGAACCACCUCGUGAUGAUGAACUCCGCUAACGCCAAGGAACGGCUAUGUUUUACAAACUAAUAAUAUGUUUACGUGUAUACGAAAUUUUUAACAACCUUGGUGAACUCGGUUAAAUGCCUCGGCCAAGGUAUUCUCGAGAAUGAUUUUGGCAGGAGCCAAUCUUUUAAGAUACUCAUAAGCCAUGUUGAUUAUUUAAAUGAAAUGAAUAUUUAUGUUAUGAAUUCAUAUUGAGAUGGAAUAUUUUAAUCGUCUCCAUUUACUUGACUUUAGAUAUUUUGGAUGGUGUUUGCUUACUCACUGGGAUUAUAUAAUCUCACCACCCUCCUUUCCACCCAUUUCAGGCUCAAAAUAGGCUGUAGAUAGCUGAUUUCAUCGAGGGCUAUCAUUGGAUUUGCAUCCUCCAAACUGUAGGUUCACAAUCUUUCUUACUUUCGGUUAUUUAGGGACCCACUAGUUAUUGUAAAUUAAAUUAAAUACUCUGGCUUACUGUAUUUAGUAUGUAUGAAUUUAUUUUACUUUUACGCUAAAAAAAUUAUUUACGUAUAACUCUAAAAAUAUUGUUUUAUAAGAAAAUAGAAUUUUUAUUGAAUAUUUCUUUUAUUUUCUUUAUUAUAUCCAAAUAAUCAUAAUUUCAUUUUAAAUGAAGGUUUUAGAUGUUUAAACUUAUUUUUAAUUAUGAAUUAUGUGUUUUGUACUCGCAUACUACAUUUUUACCUGGUUUAGAAAUUUUUAGGAAAAAAUGAUCAAAAUACCCCUGUGAGACAAAAAUCAAUUUUUUAUUGUUUUAAGUUGGAAAUAGCUUAAAAUCCUUUAGAACAUGAUAUUUGACAACAGUUACUCACAAGGGAAAUGAGAAAUUGAUAUUAAAGCCUUGUGGGGUUCCAAUUGAUAUUCUGGGUAAUGAGUGUCUAUAGGGACACCGCGACGGUUGUCACGGGCUCGAGGGGAGUAUUGGGUCGUGACAUACUUGAUUGCCAAUUAGAUUGAUUUGAAUAUAUAAAUACAACUUGACGAAGGGAGUUUAGGUUUGACCAUGAAUGGAAUGGCAUUUGUUCAAAUUCACUUAGUUGAUUAUGUGAUUUGAUUUGCAUAUAGGAUAGACAUAUACCUAUGUGUCACAUGUAGCCAAGAUUAGAGCACAAACUUAAUGAAUCAUUUUUCAGUUGAAUUUAUAUAGACAUAUAGCAAAUUAAUUGGGAGAGAUACUUUUAUAAAAGCCUUGACAAAGACUUAUAAAUAAAUUAAGACUCUAGUUUAGCAAGUAAAUCCAUUAAAGUAAAUUUAGAGAGAGAGUGGAGAUUCAGAUGAAGUGUUUAAGGAUAUUGUAAUCCUAGGCUAUUAAUUUAUUGAAUUUUUCUAGUAAAGUUUGCCAAUUAGCUUUCAAAUAUUAUUUAACUAUUAUUUAGUUUUAGUUUUGCUUUAAUUAAUUAGUUUAAUUCGGUUGCUUGAAUAAGACUAGGUUAUGUUAAUUUUAUUAUGUAGAAAAAGUUGGUACAAUUGUUUGUGGGAUUGACACUCUACUUACUAUUAUAUCACUUGUUAUGAUACAUAUAUUUGCGUGAUUAAAUUGACAAUAAUUCUUAAGAAGGCAGAACUAAUUUGGAAAAUCACUGAAAAGGUAAGAAUCGACUUCACAAGUAUUAAAUGAUUGAUUCUCAAAGCUACAAAGACAAAAAUCAGGAACUUGUUGAAGAAGAAAAGAUGGAGAAUAGGACAAAAAUAGAAAAUUUUGAAUUUUUAGUUUAAUAGCUAGGUGACAAGAAAAAUCAAUUACUUAAAUAUGUAAUGAUCGAUUCUCACAAAACAGAAUAUUCCAGAUUUAAAGUGAAACAAGAACAAUUGAUUACUCAGGAAUCUAAUGAUCAAUUCCUGGCAAACUGAAAGUUCUAGACUCAACUUAACGUAAGAAGAAUCAAUAUAACAAUAGUAGAAAGGUCGAUUCUCAAGAAAUAGAGAAGUUCGGUUCAUGAACGAAUUAAUGUCUCAUACAUCCAUUAACCGAUUCUUAAAGGUUGACUGGCAAGAGUCUAGUGGUCCCAAUGUUCCCAAAAAAAGCCAAAUCUCAAUCCAAGGGAAGAAAUCUUGACGAUCUAUAAAUACCUUUGUGAAGGAUAUUUCUUGAGAGAGAGAACACUCAAGAAAAUCAUUCCAAGAAAAGAAGAAAAUCGAGAUCCUUAAAGUUGACAUCUCUUUCUCUUUACUGCAAACUUAAAAAAAACAAAAGCCUUCAUAUUUGAGCUUACAUUCUCUUAAACAUUCUUAUUCCUUUGUACGUAACAAAGCUUAUCAACCUCUUGAGGCAUUAAGCUUUGUUAGAAUCCACUAGUGUAAGGUUAUACCUCGAUAACAAAAGGUAGAAAAGUUAUACCUUUAUAGAAAAAAUAGUGUGGUUAUACUUGAUUCAUAAAAGCCAGUGACUUAUGAAGGUUGUGCUUGAUCCAUAAAAGGAACUAACUUGCGAAAGUUGUGCUUGAUCUAAAAAAGGUAGCAAUUUGUAGAAGGUUAUGCUUGAACUUGAUUCGAAAAGGCAAUAUUUAGUGGAUUCAAACUCUUUGUGCUAUCAAGGGAGAGGAUGUAGGCUUUGAGGGCCAAAACUUUGUAAAAAUCAUGGCUAAGUAUUUUCUUCUCCUUUAUCCUCUUUACUUGCUCCAUACUUUAUUUUUAUAAGCUCACAUACUCUAGUUUUCAAGCCUAGUACUUAAAGUUUUAAUCUUUAAUUUGGUUCUUAAGAAAGAUCAAAUUUUUAUUUUGAAAACUAAUUCAACCCUUUCUUGGUUGCUUGAUCUAACACCCUUAAUCCCAUCCAAUAAUAAAAUGCCACAUUAGUUUAUCAUGCCAUGUCAAAUUUUGCUUCCAAACCCAUGUUAACACCUAGAACCAAGAAAAUCAACAAGAACAAGAAUGCUAACCUAAAAGACUACUCCUAAUUGGCUUUGGUUUUCAAAUCAAGGGAGCUUGGUUUGUACCCACAUUUUGGCCUUCAUGCUCACAUACAUUUUUACACAUCAAUAAAUCAUAAGCAUCAUGCUCAUUUAAUUUAGUAGCCUUCACUAAUAAGGACGUAUACUAACAACUUAUUCAUAAUGUGAUUUCAUUAGUGGGCAUUUAACCAAUGAUUCUUACUUUCUUAUAAUGGUGGGAAUCUAUCCAUCCAUUCUUACACAUUCUAUGAGAUGGGCUAUCAUUCAUUUGUUGAAAACCUUUGAAGAAAGAAACAGAAAUAUGUUGAAAAAGCAUAAAUCAGAAGUUUGAAACCAAAUGCAAUGGAUUUAAAAGCUAGAAUCUUUGCUUUUGUGUUUUCUAAAAUCUGAAACUGACUAAAACCAAGCUUAAAUUUUAAAAAAUGGAGUUCCUAAGAGAAUGAAACCUUGAGAGGGGUUUAAAGUUUCUCAAAAUGGUUAAGGGUGGCAAAUUGAGGUUGAAGAGACUUUAGGUAAUUGAUAAUUCUAUAAAAUAGAAUUAUUUUUAUCUCAAAUUGUUUUUAAAAGCUAGUUAAGUUCUUGAAUUUAGGUUCGAAUUUUGUUAUUUUUGUAAUUAGUUUAUGUUUAUUAAGUUAUUUUCAUUUUAAUUUUAUUUAUCUUUGUUUAGUUAUUAUUUAUUAGUCUUUAUAUUUUGUAAGAUUCUAAAAGAAUAGUGCUUAAUUAGGUAAAGAAAGGUGUUUAAGGAAUCUAGACGCUAUUUGUAUAUGUUGUUGUAUUUUGAGCAUAAUUCUUGCUCCAGAAUUUCAAAUAACGUGAUUCUUAUACCAUUGGAAUGUUAAGAGACAAAUCUACAAUUUUCAUGGAUGAAUUUGCCUAGUUCUUCUUCAAAGAUAGAGAAAAUCACAAUCAAAGUUGACCGAGUGCAGUAGUUGAUAAAAAGAAAGCAUGAAGCAAAAGGAGCGCUGUAACUUAUAUGGGGUGUGCCGUGGCGUUAGGCUGGAAAAAUUGAAGAAAUAAGGUGGAAAAGAGCAAGCUAUGAGCUGACUAUUUCCCUAUUGGGCUCUACACUUAUUCUAAGCCCAAAUUAAGAGUCUUUAGGCUAAAAUAGUUUAGUUCAAGUAAAAUUAGGUCAAGUUAGAUUAUAAAUAGUUAGCUUAAGGAAAAGUUAGCCACACAUACAUACACAUAGACACAUUGAGGAGAUACCCUAAGAGAGAUUCAAGAAACUAAAAGUUAAGGCUAAAGAUUGAAAGAUCAAGGUUGCAAAUAUUUAUUUAUUUUCUUCCUUAGCUUUUAUUAUUCUUGAUUACUCUUAAUGGCUAAACUUCAUAUGCUUUUAGUUUUUAUUUCAAUUAUGACUAGCUAGAUUUCUUUUUCUAGGAUUGCAAUUGAACUCACAUGUAGUUUAAAUUUUUAAUCUCUUUCUAGGUUAUUUUCAAUGGGAUUUAAUUGUUUAUUCCAAGUUGUUCUUAAUGCUUUUAACUGACUGGCCACCAAUUAUAUUGAUCUAGGAACCUAAACAAACUUAGGAAAGGGAGUUUAGUGUAGAAUAAAAUUGGAAUAACAUAUGAUCAUAUUUAUUUCAUUGAAUGAAUAAAGUGAUUUGUGUUUAGGACAAGAAUAUACCUAUAUGCCGUAUGUAGCUAGAUUAGAGCCUGAACUUAAUGAGUCUAUUUGAAUUUCAAUUCAUAUAGAAAUAUAGUGUUUUGAUUAAAAUAGAUAUUUUUAUAAGAGAUUCAGGAAAGCAUUAUAAAUAAUUGAGAACUAUAGGGUAGCAAUUUAACCCAUUGGAAUAAGUUAAGAGAAAGAGGUAAGAUUGAAAUGAAGUGUGAGGGAUAUUGUAAUUAUAAACUUUUCUAAUUUAAUUUUUAUUCAAUUAUAUUUUUUCUUAGAUUUUUAAUUAAUGUUAAUUAGUUUAGUUUUAGUUUUAGUUGAUUAAUUUUUAAUUAAAUUAGUUAUCCAAAUUUUGAUCGUUUGAAUAAAACUAAAUUAUUUUAAUUUUAGUACUUAGUAAUAUUCUAGAUCAAUUCUUUGUGGGAUCGAUACUCUACUUGCUAAAUACUAUCUGUUCGAUGCGUAUACUUGCAUAGGUUGUUGUCGAUUUUGCACAUGCAAGUAUAUGUAUCGAACAAGUAAUAUAGAUAUUAAGUCUAGAUUAUCGUUCCCAUAAGGAUUUGUUUCUAAAGUUUCACUAAGUACUAAAAUUAUAUAACAAAUUAAUCUUAUUCAAGCUAACCAAAAAUUGAAAAGCUAAUCAAAGACAAAAUUAAAAAUAAACACUCAAUUAACUAGCAAAAUUUAAAUAUUUUGAGAGAAGCAGUAUAUUAAAGAGACCUAGGAUUAUUGGUUCAUUCAACAUUUCAUCUAAUACCAGCUUUUCUUGUAAUUUAACUUUCCUGGGUGAUUUUAUUAACCUAGAAUCCAAAGCUAUGAGCAAGUUUCCAUCGAGAUACGUGCACAAAUACCUAACUUAAUUAGUUCACUAUAUGUCUAUCGGAAUCAAUUAAAUUAAGUUCAUUAGCAAGUGUCCUAACUUGGCUAUGUAUGACAAUUAGCAUAUGUCUACCUAAAUAGCGAAUCUGAUCAUCUAAUUGACGUGAACAUACACUAUUCAAAUCUUAGUCCAACCUAAAAUCUCUCUGUUGAGUUUCAAUUAGAUUCACAAAUCAAUUAAUUGUUGAUCAGGCAAUUAAAAGCCUUAAGAACACUUUUGAAUAAGUAAAAUGAUACCCAUUCAUGAUAAAUAACAGAAAAACAAGUAUUUAGACUAUAUGUGUCACGACCCGGAACUCCCAUCGAGCCCGUGACAACCGUCGCGGAGCCUCGACAAACAUUCUUCCCCCGAAUGCCUUUUGAGACCUCGCAAGGCUUUUGUACCAGUUUUUCCAUUCCUCUCUCUUUCUUUCUUUUUUUUAAUAAUAAAAUAAAAUAAAAAUAUUAAUUAAAAUGAUCUAUUUUAAUGUAAAACAAUAUAUAUAUAUAUUUUUGAAACAUCAAAAAUUAAUUUUCUGCACAUAAAAACAAAAUCAAUUUAUACAUACUGUAAUAUAGAAAACUGGAGUAUGCAAUUGAAAUUACAAUGACACGUGGGCCACCAAAUAACUGAGAAGGUUUAAGUUUAUAACCUUGCUUUCUAGGAUGCAACUCUGAAAUUUACUUAUCGAUGCAAUUGACAGUCUACUGCGUAUUUUGAGCUUGAAAAAUGUAUAAGAAGAAGGGAUGAGAUUAUAAAAUCCCAGUGAGUAGACAGACAUCAUCAAAAUAAUCUAAAGCCGAGUAAUAGGAGACAAUUAAAAUAAUUCAUCCCAACCCAUAUAAAUAAUUGGAUUUCAUCCAAUUACUCAACAUGGCUUAUGUACUUUUCAAAAACUUAGCCCUUGCCAAAAAUCAAUUCUCGGGGAUACCCCGCGAAGGCAUCUUACCGAGACCGCCAAGGCUAUUUAUUGUCACACACACAAAUACAUUUCACCUCUGACAACACAGCCGUUCCUUGGCGUUGGCUGAGUCCCAAUUUCACGUGGUGGCCAGCGUGAAGUGUACUCAAAUCCUACCUCGAGAGUUAUUCUACGCGCCUCUCCAAUCGAGGUAAGCUCAAUAAUUGGGAACCGUGCCCCUCUAAUUAGGCUGGCCCACGGAACCCCCGUCACUGCAGUGCCCACUUUAUAAUCCACCAACCAAUAAAAUCACAAUAGUAUGACAUGGCUCACUUAACACAUUCAUGGCAAAUCAAAGCAGUUCACAUAUUCUUUAAAUCAUAAAAAUAACCAAUCAUACCCACAUUUAUCAUAAGCCAUUUAAUGUAAAAUUAUGGAUAAACAACACAAUCAUAGUAUAGGUCUCCAAUUACUCUAUUUUUGAAAUCAUUAUUAAAUUUUCAAAAAUUUUAUAAAAUUAUUUUAUAAAAUCCCAUUUUCCCAUAAAACACAAUAAUUUUCCAAUUAAACCAUUUUUCCAUAAAAUCACACAAUUAAAUAAAUCUACUCUAGAUAAUUAAGACGAUAGUAAGUUUACUCACUGUACUAGGAGUAGAUAUACUCCUAUUCUCGAUCCUCGGGUGUAGUCUUUUACCCGUAUCAGAUAGCUCACCACCUAUCCACAAUACAUGACACAAAAAAUUCAAUAAUUUGUGUCAAAUCAAUAUAUAUUAUUUCAGGCUCUUAUCCAUGCGUAUGCACUAGAUAGGGUGUGAAAUGUUUGGACAAUCGCUUAAUCACAGUGUCCGACCUAACUCGCCUAUACACGGUGUAAAUUUCUAAAAUCUCCAAUUCAACUCCAAUUCCAUCCAUUUCAAUUUCAAUUAUCCAAUUAUAUCCACAAUACCUCAAUGACUGUGAAUGUGGUCCAAUUUAUCAGUUCGGACCACAAAUUACGCUUUUACCCUUAGUGGGUAAAAAUUUCAAUUUUUUUGCACCAAAAAUUCCCAUUUAAUUUCCAACCUCAUAAUUCAUCAUUUUUCCAUCUAAUUCUCUUAAAAUAAAGUCAACCUCAUCCUCACACACCAUUGGCUAGAUUCGGCCUAGAGAAAUUCAUGGAGAAAAUGAAUAUUUUUCUUGUUGUUUUACUCAUAAACAUGCUAAACUAACACUAAACACUAACAUAGUUCAAAAUCAAAUUAAUCUAACAACUUUCUCUCUCUAAACCCAUAUGAUCAUAUUUGAAUCCAUCAUCAAAACACAUAAUUUAACCAUGGAAAAUAAGGAGAAAUGCAUGGAAAUGAUAAAUCUUAAGCUAAGCUUGAAAAAUCAUACCUUUAAACACUUGAUUCCUUGAAAAAUCACACUUUUUCUUUGAAUUUUCUCACUCUAGAGUUUGUUCUUAUUUCUCUCUCUCUCCUGCUGGUUUUGGCUGACCCUCCAAAUGAAGAAUUCUGGAACUUUCAAGCCUUUUAAUAGGCUUAAUAAAAUAUUAUUAUUUUAUUUACCUUUUGAAUAUUUUAUUAUUUUAUUUUUUUCUAGCCAUCUUUUUGACUUUCUUUUUCUACCACUCAAUCCUCUUCACUUAUCCAUGUCUUCCAUGAAAUUUCUAGACUUUUCUAAAGUUUUGGUGGAGCAAAUUUUUAUAAAUUACACUUUUGCCCCUGUAAAGUGAAAAAUUAAGUUUUUACCCUAAAAAUUGAAAAAUUGCCCAUAGACAUAUUUUUCAUCCCUUAUACUCAUACCAUUCUGCAAUUUGUCAAAUGUGAUCUAAAUUCUCUCAAAAUCUCAAAAUUUAUCUGUGGGUGGAAAAAUUAUGAUUGUGCCCCUAGAUAGUGAAAAUUCCGAUUUGACUCCGAAUUGAUCCUCGAACUCCGAAUUACCAUUUUGAGUCAUCCCUGAACUGUGAAACUCUUAAUUUUACCUUAAAAUUCCUAUUUGAACUAGUUCGAGGCUUAAUCGACUCAAUAGUACCAUUAGGGGCAAUAUCAUCUUUUAACAAUUUCUCGAACUUCUUAAAUAUACAAACAUUUUAUCGAGCAUGUGAAUGACAUUAUAAUUAUUUUACAAAGCAGAGUUUGACAAUAUGUUAAAAUCCACCAUAAUCCUAGAAAAGCAAAUUAAUUCAUGAUAUCUAAAUAAAACAUUAUCCAAAAAAAUUUAGCCAUGAAUUCAAAACAAGAAUAUAAUAAUAAUACAAAAGAGAGAAAUAAAGUAAUGUUCAAUCUUAGUAAAUCUCGAAUCUUUCUUAAUUGAUUUUGAAUGCUUGCUUGAUUCUUAGCUUCAACUCUUCAAAAUAGUUGUUGUCGUCCUCCCCUUUGAAUGCUCUGAAAAAGCCUCUUAAAUAUGUGCAAGGUGCUCAACUUUCCAAUUUUCCAUCAAAAGUUUACAUUUGGAAAUCGUGGUGGCGCCGCGGCACCAGGACACGCCUUGGUGGCACCGCGGUGCUACUUUUUUGACACCACAGUAGUUUGCUCUUGGCCAUUUGUAUGAUGCUCCUCACUAGCUCAACACCAUAGCCACGAUUCUCCUAACACUACAGUUGUAUCUUCUUUAGCGUCGUAGCCUAAGUUGCCAUGCUGCCUUGUGUAGAACUACAUUUUUCUAUUAUUUUCAGAUGUGAUUUUCACCUUGAUCUGAUUUGAAUUGGGAAAACUAGUAAAUAUUAAAGUCGUAGCCCACGCUUUUAGCUUUCCAAUGGAUCAAAAAUCAGAUCAAUUGGACUUUUUCAACUCAAGUUAUCUUUAAAUUACUAUAGCAUGUAUGAUUGAAGCCUUCACCAUACUUAUGCUAUUAUGACUUAGUUGCACCUUGCUAUCAAGAAUUUUGAGAAUAUGGUGCCUUGGAAAGCAAGUAUAUUCUCAUGUUUAAUUUCAUUUAAUUUAUUUGUAAUGAAAGUGCAUUUUAAUCAAAAGACGAAGAGUUUGUUUUAAGUAAGCAUUCAUUACUAGUUAUUAAGGUAGCAUGAUUCUAUUGAGAUAUUAAAAUACAUUUGUAUUAAGAGUCAUACAUAAGAGACAUGUAUUUUAAUUGAAUCUUAAAAUUGUUCAUAGCCAUAUAAUAAAGCUGGUCACUUUAUUGUGUUAAGGCUGUAGUGUCCAUAUUAUUCCCAACGAAAUGAAUGUGAUUCACUACAAGGGAAUGAUGAGUCUUAAAUCAUCGAAAUGGUUGAUUUCAAGUAAUGACACUAUAACAUGAACUGGAAUCAUGUGAGAAUCAAAUUUAAGUUUAACCAUUACUUAAAUCUUAAUCUCACACUUAUGCAUUUGCUUAUAGUAAAAUCGAUAUCCUAAUGGAUAGUGGACUCAUGUUUAAUGUCCUUGUAAUCUUUGAUAUACCAUGAGCAUGAUCAUCAUAAAGUGUUGAUCUAGACUCCAUAUAUUAGGAUUAUAAUCGAGAUGAACAUCUAGGAACAUAUAUCCAAAUAAUGGAGUUCACAGCAUUAACAUCGUUUCUAAUGAUUUUAGGAAGAUUAGUGAUUAAUUUGGACCUAAUGAAUUGAUGAAUUAGAUACUCAUCACAUCUAGAUACUAAAAAGAUUAGAUCUAUAGUAUUGAAUCACUGAUUGGAUAAGGGGAAAAUUGACAUAAAGGGUAAAACGGUAAUUUCAUCUCUUGUCAUUGAAUGGUUAUGAGGGUUCAUAAUAUAAGGUUUGCAAUUGGACAACUAAUAAUUAAUAUCAAGUAUUGAAUUAUUUCUUGUAAUUAUAGGCAAUCCAAGAGUGCAACCAUGAAUCUAUGGUGGAGUGAUUUCAUGGUUAAUAAGCUUGAAUUAUUUUUAAAGCGAUUAAGAAUAAGCUUAAGUUUUUUGGAGCUUGGAAUAUCUAUGUGCACAUAGAUUCCCCAAUUAACUUCAUAGAAUUCAACUUGUUUAAGUUGGAAUACAUGUUUUAUUUGAUUAAUUAAAUUGUAUACAAAAGUAGCAGCUUUAACAUGUUUAUCUUAAUUUAGACAAGUUAAAAUAUUUUUGUCUUAAUUAAUGACAAGAGUUAUCUUAAAUUAAGAUAAUGUUCGGAGGAUUCUUGUAAAAUGAAUCUAGACAUCCAUGUUGACAAAAGGAAACUCUAUAUUUGACUAUCACCCUUUUAUUUAUAAUUAAUUCUUUUUAAAUAAAGAUGGAUAAUAAUAAAAUAAGAGUUAUUAUUCAACAAGGAGUUUUAUUUUAUCAAGAUUUCUAAAUGAUAAUUAAAGAAUUAAAUUAUUUAGUCUUUAAUUUUAAUUUUGAUAAUUAUGGAGCAUNAAGAUUUCUAAAUGUAAAAUUAAAGAAUUAAAUUAUUUAGUCUUUAAUUUUAAUUUUGAUAAUUAUGGAGCAUGUUUGAUGCUUCCAUAAUUCUAAAUGGAUGGUCAAGAUUGAUUCAAAGGUUUUUGAUAUUGAUUAAACCUUUGAGGUAGAAGUUUUAAUAAAAAGAGAAGAGAUGGGAAGAAAAAAAACGUAUGUACUUUUCUAGAAAAAGUUUCAACUGUCACUUCCUUCCUCUUCCUCCUAACUUUGCCAUAUCUCUCUUCCUCUCUCGCAUUCUUGGCUGAAUUUUUUGAAAGAAAAAUAGCCCUUAAUUUUUAAGAAGAAAAGAGAGACAAAAUCGGUUGCCAUCUUGCAGUCUAGCAUUCCACACUUUGUCCACUAAAGGAUCAAGUUGAGAAUAUUCUUGAAGAACAAGUGAUAAAUUUUUUUUGUCAAGAAAUCAAUCAUUGGUGUGGUGCUGUUCGAAAAUAAAAAUCUCAAAAUAAAAGUGUCACAACCCAAUCCCAGGCCAUGACCCGUGCAAGGACCCAAUAGGUACAGCCCACUAGACCCAAGCAAGCCUUCCUAUAUGAAUCUGUACAUUAGUCCAUCUAUCAUUCAUAUUUCUUUAAGAUCUAUACGUAAUAGUGUUCAAAUGCUAAUUUCUUUAAAGACAAUUCGUAUAACCCAAGUAAAUACUCGCACUGGCAUCAUAAAUUAAAAUAUACAUAGAUAGUUUGUCAAAUGUAUCUUAACAAUUCACACUAAACAUAUAUGUGCAUAUACAAAGACCAUGAACAUCAGCGGAGUGACUUUGGGUGACUUACCGAAAAAUAGAUAAGAGGAAGCACCUCAGCCUAGGAAUCCAACUACCUUCAAACCUGAAAACUAAAACAUGAAGUUGAAAAAUAAUGAGUAUAAACUCAGUGAGUGAACUUAAGAAGGGAACAAGCAAACAAUACAAAAAGAUUUUGAAAACACGAUGCACUUAUUUUAAAAACAAUAUAAUAUAGUUUAAUUUCUUGUAAAGCCUUUAACUCAACCCUUGAUUAUUUAAUCCCUUAAGAUGAAGGAUUUAUAAUCCACAAUGGAGUUGAAAAGAGUGAAAACUACAACAAAUAUCCAAUGAAGACAAGCAAAACAGAGGGUUUUUGGCUGUAGCGGAAAGGCAUUGUAUAGCAUAUAGUACACUCACAUUUUUAUUUUCAUAACUUGUCUGUAGCAUAUAUAUAUAUAUAUAUAUGUACACCAUCGCCGCCUUACUCAGCUCAUGUGAACUCCCUACACGCACAAGGUAAUAUUAUCAUGUGCACUCUCUACACGCACAUUUCAAUAUCAUCAUGUGCACUCUCUACAUGCACAUUUCAAUAUCAUCACAUGCACUCCCACCCACAUCAUUAUCGGCAUGUGCACUCCCACACCGCACCCCACCAGCACCGUCACAUGCACUCCCACACUACAUGUGCAGAGUUAUAGCUAUCAUACAGCAUUAUCACUAAAAGCAUAACACACAUAUCCACAUAAUAUAGGAACACAUGAGAUCAUCACAUUCAUAUUUCACAAUAUAAAAACGUUUCAUCAAGUGCUUGUUCCCAUUCAAAUUUUAAAGAAAAAUAAAUAAAAUAUUUCAAGUAGUUUAAUCAAGCCUAUAAUCAUUUAUUCCAAAACAUUUUAAUGCAAGUUUACUCAUGGUGUUUUUGUUGAUGCUUUGAUUGACUCUAACUGCGUCUAAUGCUCCAAAUGGAGAUGUGGAGUCUCGUUGGAACCUAUCACACACAAUAGCAUCACACCAACUCAAUUUACAUAAAUACUAUUCCAAAAGUUGUUUCCUAAAUCAAGUUUUACUAGUUAUUCCUAACUAGCUUCCAAAUACAAUUUAAGUAGUCAUUGUUCACACUAGACAUGAUUAAAUAACCUUCAACAAUAAAUCAGCCCACAAACCUAAUUAUUGGCCAUCAUCAACAACUCAAAAAUCAAAUCUAACGCAUCAUUCACCUUAAUGGCUUUAUAGUGGAAUUCUUUUCAAGAGUUCUUCAAGCUAUCAAGGAAAGUCUAUCUCUCUCUCUCUCAAAAUGUUCAACUAGUGAGAGAAACUGCAGAGGAAGAGCUUUUGAGGGUUCUUGAGGUGUAAAAGUGAAAGAGUAUGAAAAACCCUAUGAAAAAGUGUACAAAAGCAUGAGAAUCGGAGUUAAUUCGAGAAAGUUAUGGAGGCUUUAAGGUUUCUUUUCCAUGAAAACGGGAAAAUGUUUAGUGAGGGAAAAGAAUGGGGAGAAGAAGAAGAAGCUGUUGGAAGUGAGGUGAAGGUGCUGAAAGAAAUGAGAUAUUCAUCCUAAAGUCAAUCAAAGUUUCAUAGAAUUUACAAAAAAGCCCCUGUUUUGUUCUUUUGGUGCAAUGCCUUCACUUUGAUAAAGAUUUUGACCACUUUCUAAUCAGAACUGGGCAAUGUAAUAAACAUAAAAGUUGUAGCUCUGCCUCUUUGAUUUCUAUGGUUAAAAAAUCAUGUCAUUUGGAAUUCUGUAGUGGGAGAUGUUCUUGAAAAACUGAAACAUAUGCAAAUAGAGCAAUAGUUAAUUAUGCACCUUUCUUCACCAAUUGAAAUUAUUUUUGAUACUAUAGCUAUAAAAACAUAAAAUAAUUAUAAAUAACAUAAAACUAGCAUCAUUAACUCAAAAUUAAUAUUUAAACAUAAAUUAAAACUAAACUAAUAAAAUAGAUAAAAAUACUUAAAUUCAAUCCUAAAUCUAGUCCAACUUAGGCUAAUUAGGUAUUUAAUCUCCCAUUAAAUAUGUGAAUUUAAUACACUCAACAGUCUACCUCUAGUUAUGCAUCUAUGGAGGUCGGGGUUUCACAAUUAGGCACCAUAUUAAAGCAUGGGGUAUUAUAGUCUUCCACACGUAAAUAGAAUUCAUCCUUGAAUUCACGUUGGUGUUGGGUUAUCAAUCUCACUCUAUGAUCUUAUUCCGUUCUUCCCUUUAUAGGGAAUUUUGAUUUAUUCAUUUCGUUCACCUCCAGUUCGACUAGAAUAUUUCACUUAUGUCUAUUAUCAUCUUCUAGAGUUAGAUCAGUAGCACCCUUUACAAUCAUUAUCUCUUAUAUUAAGACACUGAGUAUGCCCUUAUCACUAUCAUUAAAUUUGAACCAUAACUCCAUCUGAAUCAUACCUAUUUUGAUCACAUAUUAUACUUACUUAUGUAUAACCAAUCACCAUCUUAUUACUUCACUCCUUGUCGAACUUUCUAACAUUCAUCCAUCUUAUCCCAUACACUAUUAUAUAGCUUACAAAAUUAAAAACAUGCCAUAUUCAUUUUUGUACGUACUCUGAACGUUCGGGAUGGUUAAUGCCUUGAAUUAUUCUCAAAUACUUUAUGUUUACUUUGGUUAUAGGCGCUUUAAAUCUUCUUAGUUUUUCCGUUACAUUAUGCAUUCCAAGAUUCAUGCUUCUGCAUUAUCCUUAAUUCAAUGCAAUCCAAAUCGUAUAGAAGGCAACUCACUCGUAAAUCUUUAUCUUUAAUAGUACUUCAGCCAUUCAUCAUCAAAUUCUUUUCACUAAUUCUAGUCUUUCAUGUCUUAAAAUAUAUCAUCAUCAUUAUGACUUAAAACUUUUUGACCAUCCUUAACAAAAUUAGAUUUUUAUCUGUCUUACUCAAUUCCUUCAAAUACUCACAUUAUAAUACUAUCACCGUUUAUUCUCCAUCUGCAGCUCUAUUGCCACAUAGAAAGCUUAGCAUAACUAUGAGAUAACACUUCCUUUACUCUUCCAUCUCGACCAUAUUAUUUUUUUUGGCUAUUACUCUUAGGAUUCUCCUUCUAUCCAUAUUGCUUAAUUUCUAAUGGUAUAUCUUAUUAUUGUACUACCUAUGCAACUCAUCAAGCAUACUGUGUUUAAUUCUUAAAUCACUAAAAAUGAAUCUUUAUUCCCACUGAUGACACGAGUAACUCCUCAUAUACUUAUAUAUAUGUCUAUUAAAUGUCAAUAUCCAUUACCAUGUAUAAGAAACACUUUUUACUUUCCUCAACUUUGACAUGUCUAGUUUAUCCUUCCAUUUCAUAUCCACAGAUCAUACUUAGUCCACAAACAUUCAAAUAUAAUCAAUUCCCAAAUUACCCUUUGGACAUUUAAGUUAUCAUUCAGCUUACAUUCUGUCAUAAUUUAUCCCUCAUAUCAUCCACAUGCACUCACAUUAUGCCGAUGCACAACUUUAUGUACUAACAAACGUAAGCUUUUCUCUUAUCAUUUCCAACCAUAUACAUAAGUUUCAUCAUAUUAUAUAUCCUUGUAUCACAAUGUCAUUAACCACAUUCAAUCGUUAAAUAUCAUUUCAUCCAAUUACAAUCUGUAUCCACGUAUGCUUUACGAUCUUAUUGAUCUUUCAAAGGUUUCCUUUAAUUCAUCCUUGCCUCUUAUGCAAUAUCACAAUUCUUAAGAGUCAUCUUCGUUUCUUAUUUACCAUUUAUACUUCCAUCAUAUAUGUCCUUGUUCAUCCCGAUAUUAGUUAGUCACUUAAGAUUUAGAUUCAUGGGAGUCAUGUGCACAUCUUGCAUUUUUUUGAAUUCCAAUUUCCACAUUAGGGAAUUCUCAUUAACCAGCUUCAUUAUUGGGAUUACUUUCAAUCUUCUCGUACUAUUCCUUUACAUCAAUGUGCCAUUAUUUUCCUUUUUGCAUCUACAUAGUUAAUGCUGGUAAUUACAUAACUUGAAAUAGGAUUUUACUUAAGUACCUCUCAAUAUCACUACCAAUAUCCAUUUUCAAACUCACAUCACGUGACCACGUAACCCAUGGUUUAGCCAUUAGGCUCCUUGACAAUUCCAAAUGCCACAUUACCUCAUCAUGCAUGUAAAAUAUUCCAAAGUACUAUUAACCAUCUUUAAUCAACCUAGUAUUCCUCUUAAUUCUUUACUUCGUAGCUUAUGUUAAGGACUUUCCUUCCUCCCUUUUACUUACAUGCCAUUAUAUAGAAGGUAAUAAAGUAACUUUUCAAUUCAUGUAUCAUUCUCCAAUCAUUUAAAUCUUCGGGUAAUAAUGCUCAAUAUCAAGGUCUUGGAUACCAACUUUGUCACUAAGGGUAACUCCACCUCUUUGGGUAGCCCUUUCCUCCUUUGCGAAUAACAACAAAGGGUACCUAUCAGAGCACUCAUAGGGCCACUCCACCUUCUUGUAUAGCCUUUUCCUCUAUAAGCCCUUGGAUAGAGACUCAUGCUUCGCCACUGUUUACAUGCGAGAGUUCCCAAGGAAUGGGUUACAACCCCUUGCUCAUACGUUCAAUACACGAGAUGUUCCUAGCGUCGUGGCACUAGACAGUUAGUGUUGCGACGGUGCAACUGUUGAAAACUUCUUCCACAAGGAAGUUCUUCUUCUUUCAAAGUUACUACUUCCAACCUUCUCAACCAUAUGGCUUUCCUUUAAGCUCUUACCACAAUUUCCAUAAGCAUGUGUAUUUUCUCUUUACUUGUUAUAUGCACUAAGCCAAGUUAAUACUUUCAACUCAUAUUAUCUUUAACACUUAUCAUUAAUCACUAAGUCCCACCUUAGGACAUCUUUUCCAUAUGGUGUAAUGAAUUCACAAUAUAUAUAUAUAUAUAUCACUACACACAUAAUUAUUCAUUAUUUAUGGCAUCCCACAAUUCAUACUAUUCAUAAUUAAUUGUCUUUUUUGUCUCGUAUCUUAGAGAGUUCAUUGACUUUCAGUACAAAUGAUCAGGAAAAUAGUUCAUCUUUUUCCACACUUUAUACUAAUAAUCCUUAUUAAAUCAAGAAUUCACCUUUUCCAAGUUCCAUAUUUUACCUCAAUUGGUUUAUAUUUGCACCAAAUUAUCAUCUUAUAAUGUCAUGGCAUCAUUUUGUAGUUCCCUCCAUACUUAAAUUUUACAAUCCUUGACUUAAUCUUGUUAACCAUGCAAAGUGCCACCUAUAGCCUCAUUCAUUUCUCUCAUAUCCUUUCGAAUUGUAACUGCAAUUGAGAUUUCAAUUUUCAUAUUUCCGUGAUGGAUUACUUACCUUACCACGUUUUCUCAUGAUAUCCUAUGCAGUUACAACACAUUGAACCUGCUUAUUAUAACAUAGUCCCCUAGUUCAAUGUGUCUACUAAAAAAUCAACUUCUUUGAUUCAAUUUGCCCCAUAAACUAGAACUUUAUUUAUUUAUCCUUGCAUUUGGAAUCAUUACAAAAACCCACAUGCCAUGAUAAAUGAUAAUUUCUAAUAAAUGCUAUCAAUUCAAAUGGCAUUUUGUACCUUGUCAAAAAUCUAGGGUUACCAUUCAAAAGUCUAUCACGUUUAUUGGUAACCAUUUCAUACUAUUGCAAAACAUAUUUAUCGUCAGGUCCUGUAGUUGCUUGAAUCGUUAAUGACUUUCUAUGUGAACCUUCAAUAAUUGCCUAAGGUGGCUAAUCACGCCACUAGGGUGUAUAUCCUUCCUCAAUAAUUAUAUUGUUAGUCCACCUCUGUUAUACCAAAAGAUUCCCAUAUGCACCAAGUCAUUUAAACAGCUACUUCAUAAUCCAUUUGAGUCACACGAAAAUAAAAUCCAAACUCUUAAGUUCUAUGUACAGACAACUACUACUACCUAGUUUACACUGCAUUACCCAUACUUAAAGUAAGACAAAGUUCAACGAAAAUAUUAAGUGUCUUUAAGAUCAUCGUCGCCUUGCUCCGAGCACAUUGAUGGAUCCUCUUCUGGGUCCUCUUUUACCUCCUGAGAUUUCUCCAUUUUAGCCUUAAUCCAAGCUUGUUGUAUUCUUAUGCAUUCUUCCCUACUCAAAGGCAUAGCACCUCUCCCACAACUUGGGGGAAAGUCUAGGAUAGCUGACACCUUCCUAGGACAAAUAUCUCCUUUUACAAUUGCCACUUUCAUCUUUUUCUUAUGCCAUUCCUCAAACCUUUCCAAAAGGAACUUUCUUACAGCUUCUUGAAUGUCAAAGCUAUCCUCACUUUCAAGGCUCUCACUACUCUCAAAGCUUUCCUUAUUACGAAACCAUUCUUCCUAUUCUGGUGGAAUCCAUGUAAUAAGAAUCCAAGAUAGGCCACUUUUCGGACUACGUAGAUUAGGGUGCCAUUGGCUCCUAGCAGUGGAAUCUAACGAUCCUUCGUUAGUACUAUGAAGGGCAUCCAUACUACCGUCGCUUCUAGAUAUAGAGUGUGCAAUAGGCGCACCUCCAAACCUAUAUGCAACCAAGCAUCAAUUGCUUAGCCAUUUAUAUAUCAUAGGAAUAGGUAGGUUUUCUACAAAAUUAGGGUCUAUGUAGCCUCUCAUCCUUAAGUUGCGUUGCACACCCACAAUCCAAGGAUAAGAUUCUACAUAGACUCCCACAACUCCACUGACAACACAAGAAUCCCUAGAAUUCAACAAAACCUAAAGCUCUGAUGCCACCUUUGUCACAGCCCAAUCCCAAGCCAUGACCGGCGCAAAGACCAAAUAGGCACAGCCCACUAAGCCCAAGCAAGCCUUCCUAUAUGAAUCUGUAGAUUAGUCCAUCUAUUAUUCAUAUUUCUUUAAGAUCUAUGCUUAAUAGUGUUCAAAUGCUAAUUUCUUCGAAGACAAUUUGUAGAACCCAAGUAAAUACUCGCACUGGCAUCAUACAUUAAAAUAUACAUAGAUAGUUUGUCAAAUGUAUCUUAACAAUUCACAUUAAACAUAUAUGUGCAUAUACAAAGACCUUGAUCGUCAGUAGAGUGACUCUAGGUCACCUACCAAAAAAUAGAUAAGAGGAAGCCCAUCAGCCUAGGAAUCCAACUACCUACAAAUCUGAAAACUAAAACAUGAAGUUGAAAAUAAUGAGUAUAAACUCAAUGAGUGAACUUAAGAAGGGAACAAGCAAACGAUACAGAAAGAUUUUGAAAACACAAUGCACUUAUUUUAAAAAUAAUACAAUUUAGUUUAAUUUCUUGUAAAACUUUAACUCAACCCUUGAUUAUUUAAUCCCUUAAGGUGAAGGAUUUAUAAUCCACAAUGGAGUUGAAAAGAGUGAAAACUACAGUAAAUAUCCAAUCAAGACAAGCAAAACAGAGGGUUUCUCGCUGCAGCGGAAAGGCAUUCUAUAGCACAUAGUACACUCACAUUUUUAUUUUCAUAACUUGUCUGUAGCACAUAUAUAUACAUGUACACCACCACCGCCUUACUCAGCUCAUGUGCACUCCCUAAACGCACAAGGCGUGUCACGACCCAAAUUUCGAGUCAUGACCGGCGCAUGGAUCCAAUGGACGUAAUCCACUAAACCCAAGCAAGCCAAUUGUUUAUCUUACUUAUGAUUCUAUUUAUUAUCACUAAGUCCUAUUUCAUGACUUUGAGUCAAAAUAGUGAUAUACAUUUCCAACUCGUACUGGCAUUACUCUUUUAAAAUUUACAUUUAAGUUCAUCUAUACAUAACAAAAUAAUACUCGAACUCCAGCGGAGUGACUCGGAUGGAUAUACAGCUACCGAAUGCCGAGACACCUACCAGAAGAUGUACACAGAUCUACAAGGANNNNNNNNNNNNNNNNNNNNNNNNNNNNNNNNNNNNNNNNNNNNNNNNNNNNNNNNNNNNNNNNNNNNNNNNNNNNNNNNNNNNNNNNNNNNNNNNNNNNNNNNNNNNNNNNNNNNNNNNNNNNNNNNNNNNNNNNNNNNNNNNNNNNNNNNNNNNNNNNNNNNNNNNNNNNNNNNNNNNNNNNNNNNNNNNNNNNNNNNNNNNNNNNNNNNNNNNNNNNNNNNNNNNNNNNNNNNNNNNNNNNNNNNNNNNNNNNNNNNNNNNNNNNNNNNNNNNNNNNNNNNNNNNNNNNNNNNNNNNNNNNNNNNNNNNNNNNNNNNNNNNNNNNNNNNNNNNNNNNNNNNNNNNNNNNNNNNNNNNNNNNNNNNNNNNNNNNNNNNNNNNNNNNNNNNNNNNNNNNNNNNNNNNNNNNNNNNNNNNNNNNNNNNNNNNNNNNNNNNNNNNNNNNNNNNNNNNNNNNNNNNNNNNNNNNNNNNNNNNNNNNNNNNNNNNNNNNNNNNNNNNNNNNNNNNNNNNNNNNNNNNNNNNNNNNNNNNNNNNNNNNNNNNNNNNNNNNNNNNNNNNNNNNNNNNNNNNNNNNNNNNNNNNNNNNNNNNNNNNNNNNNNNNNNNNNNNNNNNNNNNNNNNNNNNNNNNNNNNNNNNNNNNNNNNNNNNNNNNNNNNNNNNNNNNNNNNNNNNNNNNNNNNNNNNNNNNNNNNNNNNNNNNNNNNNNNNNNNNNNNNNNNNNNNNNNNNNNNNNNNNNNNNNNNNNNNNNNNNNNNNNNNNNNNNNNNNNNNNNNNNNNNNNNNNNNNNNNNNNNNNNNNNNNNNNNNNNNNNNNNNNNNNNNNNNNNNNNNNNNNNNNNNNNNNNNNNNNNNNNNNNNNNNNNNNNNNNNNNNNNNNNNNNNNNNNNNNNNNNNNNNNNNNNNNNNNNNNNNNNNNNNNNNNNNNNNNNNNNNNNNNNNNNNNNNNNNNNNNNNNNNNNNNNNNNNNNNNNNNNNNNNNNNNNNNNNNNNNNNNNNNNNNNNNNNNNNNNNNNNNNNNNNNNNNNNNNNNNNNNNNNNNNNNNNNNNNNNNNNNNNNNNNNNNNNNNNNNNNNNNNNNNNNNNNNNNNNNNNNNNNNNNNNNNNNNNNNNNNNNNNNNNNNNNNNNNNNNNNNNNNNNNNNNNNNNNNNNNNNNNNNNNNNNNNNNNNNNNNNNNNNNNNNNNNNNNNNNNNNNNNNNNNNNNNNNNNNNNNNNNNNNNNNNNNNNNNNNNNNNNNNNNNNNNNNNNNNNNNNNNNNNNNNNNNNNNNNNNNNNNNNNNNNNNNNNNNNNNNNNNNNNNNNNNNNNNNNNNNNNNNNNNNNNNNNNNNNNNNNNNNNNNNNNNNNNNNNNNNNNNNNNNNNNNNNNNNNNNNNNNNNNNNNNNNNNNNNNNNNNNNNNNNNNNNNNNNNNNNNNNNNNNNNNNNNNNNNNNNNNNNNNNNNNNNNNNNNNNNNNNNNNNNNNNNNNNNNNNNNNNNNNNNNNNNNNNNNNNNNNNNNNNNNNNNNNNNNNNNNNNNNNNNNNNNNNNNNNNNNNNNNNNNNNNNNNNNNNNNNNNNNNNNNNNNNNNNNNNNNNNNNNNNNNNNNNNNNNNNNNNNNNNNNNNNNNNNNNNNNNNNNNNNNNNNNNNNNNNNNNNNNNNNNNNNNNNNNNNNCCCAAUUUUUAACUUUUUGACUUUUUCUUCUUAAUUUUCCACCACAAAUAUUCUGGUAUUUAUCCAAUCCUACCUCAAUUAAAAUCCCUUGGUCUUGACAAGUGCUGGGGCAAAAAUUUUACUAAUUUGCCCCCGAGACAAAAAAAAUUACGAUUUUGCCCCUAUAUUCCGAAAUGUACCAGAAUCUCAUUAUUUCUACUUUUCAACUUAAAAUAACAGUAAUAUUGAUCAAUAUUAACCAAAUGGGGCAAAAUUUGUUUUAAAAAAUUUUCGUUUAGUCCUCUAGUGCCAAAAUUAUCAUUUUGCCCUUGUGCUCCACAAUUAUCGGGAAUCAUAAUUUUUCACUGCUAAACAUCAUUUUAUACUCCAAUAAUCAUAAUUAUAUUUCAUAUAAUUAUUCUUGGUCAAAUGCGAUCAAAUCUUGGCUAAAAAUCUCCAUUUUAUCAUCAAAUGGUAAAUGACCGUUUUGUCCCUAAUUGGUCAAUUUUCUGAUGGACUCCAAACUGGACCUUGAACUUCAAAUCACUAUUCUAAGCCAUUCUGUUGGUUUUAAAAUUUUCAAAUUCUUCUUAUAAUUUCUAUUUUAACUAGUUCAAGGCUCGAUUUAACUUAGUUGUACCACUCGAUACAAUACCGUCUUUUAAUCGAGCUUGACAGGGUCUCACAAGGCGAUAUCAUCAUGUCACUCCCUACACGCACAUUUCAAUAUCAUCAUGUGCACUCUCUACACGUACAUUUCAAUAUCAUCACAUGCACUCCCGCCCACAUCAUUAUCGACAUGUGCACUCCCACAACGCACACCACCGGCACCGUCACAUGCACUCCCACACCACAUGUGCAUGGUUAUAUCUAUUAUACAGCAUUAUCACUCAAAACAUAACACACAUAUCCACAUAAUAUAGGAACACAUGAGAUCAUCACAUUCAUAUUUCAAAACAUAAAAACAUUUCAUCAAGUGCUUGUUCCCAUGUAAAUUUUAAAGAAAAAUCAAAUCUAACUCACUACUCACCUUAGUGGCUUUAUAGUGGAAUUGUUUUCAAAAGUUCUUCAAGCUAUCAAGGAAAGUCUAUCUCUCUCUCUCUAAAAAUGUUCAGCUAGUGAGAAAAAGUGCAAAGGAAGAGCUUUUGAGGGUUCUUGAGGUAUAAAAGUGAAAGAGUAUGAAAAACCUUAUGAAAAAGUGUACAAAAGCAUGAGAAUCGGAGUUAAUUUGAGAAAGUUACGGAGGCUUUAAGGUUUCUUUUCCAUGGAAGGGGGAAAAAAUUUAGUGAGGGGAAAGGAUGGGAAGAAAAAGAAGAAGCUACUGGAAGUGAGGAGAAGGUGCUGGAAGAAAUGAGAUAUUUAUCCUAAAGUCAAUCAAAGUUUCAUAGAAUUUACAAAUUGCCCCAUUUUUGUUCUUCUAAUGCAAUGCCUUCAGUUUGACAAAGAUUUCGACCACUUUUUGAUCAAAAGUGGGUAAAGUGAUCAGCAUCAAAGUUGUAGCUCUACAUCUUAGCUUUCUAAUGGUCCAAAAAUCAUGUCAUUUGGACGUUUUUAGUGGUAGAUAUGCUUGAAAAACCAAAACAUAUGCAAAUAGAGCAACAUUUAAUUAUGCACCUUUCUUCACCAACUAAAAUUAUUUUUGAUCCUAUUGCUAUAAAAACAUAAAAUAAUUAUAAAUAAUGUAAAACUAGCAUCAUUAACUCAAAAUAAACAUUUAAACAUAAAUUAAACUAAACUAAUAAAAUAAAUAAAAAUACUUAAAUUCAAUCCUAAAUCUAGUCCAACUUAGGCUAAUUAGGUAUUUAAUCUCCCAUUAAAUAUGUGAAAUUAAUGCACUCAACAAUCUACCUCUAGUCACACAUCUAUGGAGGUUGGGGUUUCACAAUUAGGCAUCAUAUUAAAGUAUGGGGUAUUAUAAAAAGGUAUGUUUUAUUCUUACUUAAUAGAUUCUUAUUUUUUUAUGAUGUGAUUAUGUUACUUGUAAUAAGAAUGAUGCGUGUUUCCGCUUAUGUAAUUGGAUUGCUUGCUUCCUUUAUGAAAUUUUUUUUUUUGAAAUCCAUGUUUUACACAAUCCCAUUAAUCCACUUAAAACCAAUUGCAUCACUUUCUUAUCACAUAUCCUACACAAAACCAUGAGAGAAAUCGACAUUAACUCUUCUUAAAGUAAAUUAAAGCAAAAUAAAUUAAAAUUAAACUAAAAUAACUUAAUUUAACUUUUCAACAUGUAAUCUAACUUAAAUUAGAAAAGCACCUAAAAUGAUAAAUCUGACCCUAAAAACUCAAAGAUCUAGCUACUUAAGCCUCCAAAAUGUGUUAAAAGAACUCUAUAUAACACAGUUAUCAUAGGUAGAAUUUUACCUGAUAGUAACUUAAUUAGGUAAGUUUUGAGUGAGAAAAAUACUAUUUUACCAUUUUUAUUUUUCUAAAAUCGGCAUCAAGUAACGAUACUUUUGGAAAUAUAUCAAUAUUUUUGUUUUUGAGUUUCAAGUAUUGGUGCCUAUUCAUCAUGUAUUGAUACUUGUUCAUCCAAACCUCCUUUAAAAGCUUUAUAUGGAGCAAGUAUCGAUACCUUUGCUCUAUAAUGUAAAAAUUAGCUUGCAUUUUUACUCCUUUCUUUUUAACACUUUAGUAAAUCAAUUUAUCAUUGUAAAAUGAAAUAUUUUCCAAGGCAAAAACUCAAGUUAUACAUCCAAAAACAAAAAAUUUCCAAGCUCACCUAAGGAGUUAAUAUUCUAUGCUCUAAGUAAAAAUUGGGUUUCGUAGUUCAAAACUACUAUAUAAUAUGAAUAUUCAUAUAUUAUUUCAACUUUAGACUUUGCACAAAUUUGAGCAAAACAUGGACAAUCAUUUAAAGUCAAGAAUUUAAUAAACAUGAAUAGUAUAAUAAUAUUAAAAUACUUAAAAACAUUGCAUUUACCCACCUCAAUCAUGUGAAACCUCGACCUUCAUAAAUGCGUAACUCGAGGUAAAACUUAUGUUUAAAGAUUUAAUUUGAGCUAAUGAUGCUAGUUUUACGUUACUUAUAAUUAUUUUAUGUCGUUAUAAAAGUAGGAUUAAAAAAAUAAUUUCAAUUAGUGAAGAAAGGUGCAUAGUGGGCUGUUGCUCUAUUUGCAUAUGUUUCGGUUUUUCAAGCAUAACUCCCACUACCACUUUGAUGUUUUUGUUGCUAAAAGGCAGGGCUACAACUUUAAUGUUUACCACAUUGCCCAGUUUGGACGAGAAGGUGGUCAAAAUCCUUAUCAAAGUGAAAGUACUAUGCCAGAAAAAUAGAUUUGGCCAGAACAUUUGAGCACUGUGGUGCUGAAAAUUGAGAGUCACGGCCCUCACCAUAAUUUCCAUAAAUAACAAGUUUAGGGGAUUUUUGAAGCUAGGACUUUUGAGGGUUACUUAAGGGACUUCUUUCAGAGGAUUUUGGACCUUUUCCCAGUGUCAAAGAGUAAAAAGAUUGCACAAGAAAAGGAGGAAGACAAGUGGCCUUGUUAAGGGAAUUAUUGUAAUUGCAUGAGAAAUUAGAUAAGCUUUAACUAUAAAGAUAUCAUUUUUUCCAGCAUCUUCCACAUUUCUCCAGCUACUUCUUCUUUUUCCUCCUCCCAUCUCACUUUUUUCUCCUAUUCCAUGAAAGUUUCUCUCAAGCUUCCAUCAUUCUCUCAAACAAACCCUAAUUUUCGUGCUUUACACACCCUAUUGUAGGGUUUUUAAUACUCUUUUACUCCUUCACCCCUUCACCUUAAACAAACCCUUAAAAGUUUUUCUUCAAUACUUUCUCUCACCAGCUGAACUUUGUAGAAAGAGAAAAAGAGGUUUCAUGAUAGUUUAAGGACUCUUGGGAAGAAAUUUCAUUACCAUCCACCAAGGUGAGUGAUGAAUUAAGAUUGGUUUUAAGUUAUUGAUGAUGACUAAUAAUUAAAGUUAUGAGUUGUGUUAUUUGCUGAAAUUGUUUAUCUAUUUUUAGUGUUACUAAAGUAGAGAAACGGAAUAGCCAAUCAAAUGGUAAUUGAAAGGUAGAUAGGAAGAGCUAUUGAAGCUUGAAUUGGGAAAUAGCUUUUGGAGUGAUAUUAAUGUAAAUUGGAUUGGCUACGAUGUUUCUGUGCAUGAUAGGUUCCAACAAGGCCCCUCAACCCCAUUUGGACCAUUACGAAAGUUAGAGUCGAUUAAAGGUUCAACAAUUACUAGUGAGUGAAUUUGCAUUAAAAGGUUUUGGGAUAUACACAUAUAUGUUGAUUGAAUCCCUUAAAACAUUUUACUUGGUUUUUUCUUCAAAACUUGCACGGGAACAAGCCCUUGUGAAAUGUUUUUAUGUUAUGAAAUGGAUUGUGUGAUGAAUUCAUAUGUUUCUAUAUAAUGUUGAUAUAUAUAUAUACUAUGUCAUAAAUGGUACCAUUGUGUGACAAAUGCAAUCGUGCAUGUGCGGGGUGAGUGUGCACUUGCCAGUGAUGACAGUGGUUAGAGAGAUGAAUGGUGAUACUGCCCAUGUGCACAAUGUGGGGGGAUGCACACGAUGGCAUUAACUGUGCAUGAUGUGGGGGGAUGCACACGAUGACUCUGGCUAUGUGCACGAUGUGGGGGGAUACACAUGAAUUGGUUGAGAUGGGGUGUCCCGUUAUGUGCACGAUGUGGGGGAUGCACAUGAGUUGGAUAAGAUGGGGUGGUUGUCAAGCCCUACUAUAUUAUAUACUUUUCAUGUCAUUCAUGUACUUGAUAGCAUAUCUACAUACUGGGAUACCUCAAAGAAUCAUUAAAAGUCGGCAUCGUACCUAGUGGUACAAUUAAGUCGAUUAAAACCUCGAACUAGUUUGAAUAGAGAUUUUAGGAUAUAUUUUAGAGUUAUUGAACGUUAGACUAUCUCAAUAUGGUGAUUCGGAGUUCGAGGAUUAAUUUGGAGUCAAAUUAGGAAUUUUCAUAACAUAGGGGCAAAAUGGUCAUUUUACCACCCGAGGGCAAAAUGGGAAUGUUUGAUGAAAUUUUUGACCAAGUUUGACUAAUUGGAGAAUGAUUUGAAUUUGAGAAAUGAAAAAUUUUAAUUUCGACAUUUUUCCGAACAUAAGGGCAAAAUAGUCAUUUUACGUGUCGAUAAGGACGUAAUUGAAAUUUUUGGAAUUUUACACCACCAUAACACUUGUCAAGCCCAUGAAUUUUACCUAUUAUUAUUUUAUACUUUGGAUAAUUAAGAGAUUACAUAUGGUGGUGAGAAAAUGCUUAAUUGUUAAGUUUUAACCAUGGACCAAUCACAUGGUGACACACGUCAAGUUUUAAUAUUUUUAUAAUUUCCUUUAUAAAGUCAACAUAAACUCUCCCAUUUCACUCUUCAUGGCUGGCCAAAGCAAUGAUCAAAGAGAAAAGAAUAGAAACAAACCCUAGAGAGGAAAAUUCAAGAGAAAUUUAUUGAAUUUCAAAGAACAAAGCAAUCAAUGGUAAGAUUUUUCAAUUUUAGCUUAAAAUCUACCUUUCCCAUGCUUUCUUUUUCAUUUUCUAUGGUUGAAACACAAGUUUCCAUGAGAGAAUACUUGUUGGCCAAACAUAGGGAGAGAGGUUUUGAUGAUGGAUUUUGCUAGAUUUCAUGAUAUCUUAGUGUUUUUAGUUGUUUGAUGAUGUUUGGCAUGAAAAACAAGCAAGAAAAUCACAUGCCCUUCAACAACCCUUUUUGGCCAAAUGUUAUAAAUGACAUGUUGAUGAUGGAUUUUGUUGUAUUUCAUGUUAUUUAGCUCGUAAUUGAUGAUUUAUGUCAUCGGAUAUCAAAAACGGCUAUCGAAAAGUAUAGUUCCUUUAGUAAACGACUUGAACAAUAAUGAGAAAAUCAUAGUAAAUGGACUUGGAUUUGAUUCCUAAUGAUGUAGAUGGAUUUAUUGGACUAUGUUAACACUGAUUAGCACAUUAGUUCAAAAUCAGAAUGAAUUUCGAUUUUGAUGAAUUAAGUCACAAUCAAGCUUAUUGAGGUACUUUGGUGUAUUUGGAAUAUUGGAAGUGUAAUGAAUAUAUUUGAAGUUGAAUUAGAUGUUUUGGUUAAUUCAACAGUGUAUAGUUCAAGUUAGGUCGAAUACAAAUUAAGUUCGAUCAUAAUUGAACCCAUGUAGAACACCGUCCUUAUGUGAUUAUUCGAACAAUUCUCAUUCAAUGUCAUGCAUUCAUAUAGAGAUUGAAAUAGUUUUAUAACAGUUUGGCUCAAAUAUAUUGAAUUAUGUGUUGUGUAUUAUGUAUAGGUGGUGAGCCCUCUAAUAAGGGUAAAAAUAUUGUACCCGAGGACCAAGAAUAGGAGUACUCGAAAUUUCCAUUAUUGUGAGUAAUCAAAUGUUCAUCUUAACUAUCUAAAGUAGUUUAUACUCAUUUUUAUGAUUUUAAAAAAUAAUGAACUUAAACCGUAGAUUUUUAUGUUUUAUAAGUUAAGUGUUGGCUAAAUGAAUGAGAUUUAUAAAUUAUUUUGCAAUUCAAUGAUGAUUUUGGAAAUUGAGUAGGUGGAGACUAUAUACUUGUGUUAUCUAUAUAUAUAUAUAUAUAUGGUUUGAAUUAAUGGCUUAUGACAAUGUGAUGGCAUGAAUGGCUGGAUUUGUGGUUUGUGGAUUAUAUAAACUGUUUUGUUUUACCUUAACAGGCUGGGUAAUAUUGUAUUAGCCAUGUCAUGCUGUCGAAAUUUUUAUUGAUUUGGUGGGUUAUUUAAUUAGCUUACUACAGUGGGUAGGUUUCCAUGGACCAGCCUAUUAGAGGGGCACGGUAAACCCCGUUAUAUUUUACCUUAGUAUGAGAGGUGCGGAGGGUAUCUCCUAAGGUAAGUUUAGAGUUCACUUCACGCCGAACCACCACGUGAGGAUGAAACUCAGCCAACGCCAAGGAAUGACUAUAUUUUAAAAGUAAAAACAUGUUUU